ACAGUUUUGCUGGGGUUUUAUUUUCCUUUGAGCCUGUGAUGUUAUCAAAAUAUUUGCUACUCUUGAUGGGUUUAUCCCACUUGAUGAUCUCAACCACCAAGAUCUCUGAGGCUCUUUAGUUCUAGACUAAUGUUAUCAUUACAGUACAUCCCCUGUUGCCAGGCUUUGUUCAUUAUGUGCUGAUGUAUGUGCAUACCCUGUUUCUCAUCACUCUUUGGCCUGUAUUCAGGAGCUGGAGGAAAAGAGAAAGGAGAAGGCCAAGGUCUCCUACGACAGGAGAAAGCAACUGGCGAAGCUCCGCGUCAAGGCCGAGAAGGCGGCCGAGGAGAAGUUGGGAACUCAGCUGGAGAUCCUAGCCCCGAUCAAAUACUAAGAGAGAUUAGAGCUUCCGUGCGCCAUCAGUUUUGGGAAACCUCUGUCCUCUUGUCUUUGAGUAGUUUGGUAACUCUGUGAUAGUACAACCUGGUUGGUAAACCUUUGUUAUGCAUGCAGUUCUGCUACCCUCAUUUGAAAUUUUCUACUUGGUGAACUGUUUCGUUUAUCAAAUGUGUGCAUUUGGAGAUUCUAGUGCAUGUCUAUCAGGUGAUUAUAUGUUGCUGAGGCUGUUUCUCUUUACUACAGCCAUGGCAGUCUCUUUGACCUAUCGUUGGAAAGUUAGAAGUAAUGUGUUUGCCUUUGUACAUGUCUUUCUUUUUCACUCAUCAGAUUAGCGGCAUGAAAAUUCUAGUAAAGCUACUGUUUGUGCGGGAUACUGCACACAUAUUAAAGAUAAAGAUUUGUGUACUUGAUUUCUUGGAGCAACCUUAAAAAUCUAGUUUUGGGGCUGGCCUUAAACUUCUUCCCAUAUUUUUUUAAACAAUGACACAUUUAUAUGUCGCAUCAUAAUAAUUCAAACAAUUAUACAUCGAUCUCAUACUUAAUAAUAAUUUGAAGGCAACAUUAACAUAACUGAUGUUUCCAUGAAGUGCCCACCGAUGCUCAACUAGUUCAUGAUCAUUGUGGCCCUAGCUCAUUAUCAGUGUGGCCCUCCAUGCGUUGACGCAUUAACAAAAUUUCUGGAAUUACCCCAUUCUAGCUGAAUUGGUGGUGUGUCAUCAUAUCAUGCUAUGCAAUAUCACGCAGGCGGUCAUGGUAUGGCCUCAAGCCUUUUUGAUGCCAAAAGUGUGCAGGAUCAUGAAUGGCAAAAGAGUUUGGAGAACCUCAAAUCCCCGCUCUACAUCUUAUCUACAUGUUUCUUUGUUUCCUAGCAAAGUGAGGAUUCUCGUACCAUGCUUUCGACAUCCUUUCGACAUGCUUCUUUGUCUCCUGACAAUCAAAAUAUGAAUGUCAAAUCUAUGUCAUUUGACGCCACAAGUUCUAGAAUUAUAGUUGCAUCUUUAAUCUUUCCUUUGAAUUGUCCAUGUAAUGUCGUAGGGCAAAGCUUUCACUUCCAAUGCAUGCAAUCGAUACUUUCAAGUAUUCCUGUAAAGCCUUUUGAUGCACCCAUCUCAAGAAGUCUUGCAGUGCCCUUUCAUUUGAAGCUCGAAUAUAUUCUUCUCCAAAUAUCUCAAUGAUGGACUUCGUUAAUUUAAAUAAGCUGUCAAUGCAAACUCUCUGCCAUUCAUCAAUAGAAUCAACUGUAUGCAAACAUUUUCACGGCCUCACAAUAUUUUUUCAAACUAUUGUGACCUUGUUGACCAGUUGCAUUUCUUAUUUGUUGAAUGCGUAAGAACAACCUCAUUGACAUUCAGAAUCUUCUCCUAAACGUCUUUGCACCAUAUACCAGAUUCUCACCAAAGUAGUCACCAAUAGCUUCGCGUGACCGUCUUGCUUGUUCCGACGGAGUACAAGAUGACCAGGCACUGAACCUCCCCAGUUCGGCUUCUUGUUUGCCAUCGUGUCUGCAUACAUAGCCAUCACAAGAUUGAUUUCUUCAUCCUUGUCCGAUGGCGAGUCGUCGAAAAAAGUUUGAACACGUGCGUUCAUCUACAAUCAAUAAGAAAAACUAUGAUCAACCUCAUUGUCAAACAAUUUUUUUCAAACAUACAAAUAUUUGGGUGAAGAAUUUCCUCAAAUACCGUUGUUGCGUUGGUUUCUUGAACUAGGACUUGGAGACGAAGGCCGGAGCGGGGCAGCGAAGGAGGGGAUGAGGCGAGGCAACAGAGGAGGAGACGCGCAACGAGGGACGGUGGCGCUCCCGGGCCGCGGCAGCAGCAGACGGCGGCACANNNNNNNNNNNNNNNNNNNNNNNNNNNNNNNNNNNNNNNNNNNNNNNNNNNNNNNNNNNNNNNNNNNNNNNNNNNNNNNNNNNNNNNNNNNNNNNNNNNNNNNNNNNNNNNNNNNNNNNNNNNNNNNNNNNNNNNNNNNNNGGUGGUAGGUGCUGAAAUUUUAGCCCGCCAAAAAGAUACACGAAGAAUCCUGCUAAAAUAAAAUGCCAUUUUUACGGGAUCUCCUAAUAUGGUCGUUUUACGAGAACUGUUGGAGAGGUUUUUUUUGCCUCAACUUCCGGUAAACGGUUGUUAAUUUAGAGAUAGGGGAGUUGUUGGCUUUGCUCUUAGACCGUAUAGCAUCUACAGCCGGGCUCCUUAAAUGUCUAUACGCAUGGGCUGACGGCUCGGUCAGUGAUUUCACAAAAUCGCGAUCCAACCGGGCUACUCAACCAGCCCUAUAUGUCCAGACUGACUGAUACCCCUUCUAUCUAGCCCAUAUCUAGGAUGGUAUGGCGAGGCCCGGACAUGCUUGGGAGAGUCGGACUAACGGGCGAGACCCUCAAGGACACACGUCGAAACCAAGUUGGACGCAUUCAUGCUGCCGCUCCGGCGGGCCGCUUCAGGGGCCAAAUCCGGCUAUUUCAGCCGGUCGGCGGCCCCUUAACCCUAGACAUUUCCAUUUCCACCCUCGCAGCCUACCGCCACUCCCAGGGGCGGACACAUGAUUUGGCUAAGCCCCAGGCCCUAGGCUAGCUAUAGUAUGGCUACAGUGCUACUACAGUGUUCAUGAUGUUGUACUCAAUGCAAUUUUGCUUCUUCACGCCCAGGGCCCAGGCCCCCCCGGCCUGGGCCCUGGAUCCGCCACUGCCCACUCCCAAUCCGCUCAAAGCUCGCCAUCCGUCGGUAGCCAUGGCCCGCUAGCGGAUCACCACCUACACCAUGCUCCGAAGCGUCAAUUGGAGCUCCUAAUAGAGAUCCAGUCACGACGUGGCGCUCAGAUUGUGGUGGGCUUGCCUUCGGACUCUCCGAAGGAGGAGGAGGAGCUGGACACGAACAUGAAGGACUCGGAGCCAGGGAAGGAAGAAGAGGAGGAAGGCAAGGCAGAUCUAGCGCCUUUGGCUACCGGAUUCGGCAUGAGCAACGCAUUGGUUGAGCUUGAGGUCGGCCAAGCGGAGGAGCAAGCUAACUUGAGAUGGAGGCAAACCACCACUACCUCCGUCGGGCGGGUGUGGAGCUGAAGGAAGCCUUGGCGGAGCUGGACUCCAAUGAGGAGCCGGAGUUGCGUGUGACGACCAAUCACCAGGAAGCCGGUCCGUCCGGCACAGGCACGGAGGUCGUCUACAUCAUCGAUGAUGAGUAGUGGGGUAGUACAUAACUUUUGUGUUGCACGGUAUAGUAUGGAUUUAAGAUAUGGUAUUUGAGGUAUGUGGUUGCAGCGAAUGACACAUGAUGGGUGACUGGGUCCUCUCCACGAACGCAUCCAAACGUGUCCUAAAGGGGCAUUUUUAUGGCAACAAUGCGGGUUGUAGAUGCUCUAACAGCGUCCGAUUGACCUUUAAUUCCAGACUAGAUUGCACCCGAAGCAAAACCGGCAACACUGGUCUGCGAUGUUUCCGUCGAGCCGCCGGAGAGUGCGAGCGCCACACACAUAACCGGCCACAACUCUCCCACUGGAACACGCCAUCGCUUCGGCCUCAGCCACUCGAUCAAAAGAAGCAACGGUAGAUCCGGCCACGCAAAGUCACCACCACGAGGCAAGUGGGGCGCCGUCGCUUCCAUAAACUCCCAAGGUAGAGGGGUGCUUGUAACGCCCCGAGACCGAUAUGCCAGGUGUCCUCCAGUUAUUCGUUGUUGUUGUCUUGUCUUUGCUUGCGUGUCAUGCAUUUCAUGUCAUGUCAUCAUCCGCAUUGCAUCAUCAUGUUUUAAAACUUGCAUUCGUCCGGAUUCUCCGAGUUCUCUCUGUUGUCCGUUCUGAGCCCAACCACACUUGCACGCGCCCGCGGCAUGUCCGAAAUAGUAUUUUAUAAGUGGCCGAAAAAUAUUCUCGGAAUGGGAUGAAAGUUGGCAUGUGGUGUUGUUAUGUUGUUAGUAGGUCGCCUGUCAAGUUUCAUCGCAUUCGGAGCUCGUUUGAUAGCCCAACCGUUAAAUUAUAGCGGCAAUAUAGCCGGGUCUAACAUCGGACGUUUUCGGUCUCCGGAAACAGACGCCGGGCUUCUCUCUCUUCUCUCCUCUCAGCCUGAUGCCUUUUGCACAGCCCACAAGCUCCAACCUACCCCUCUUCGCGUCCGGAGCCGUCCGAUGCGAUCGCUCGGUCCGAAAACCCCUCCUGCGCAGUGCACCGACCCCUCACGUGCGCGUCCGAGACUGUCCCGAAUCCGACCCGAUCAGUUGUCACCGUUGGACUCAGAACAUCCCCAAAUAUCUACAAAACAUUUCCGUUUUGUUAAUUGGAUUUCCUAACAUCUAUUUUCUCGGUCGUCCGAUUAUAAUCGUACGGACCGAAUACCCCCUACCCUAAUCCAACCUGCUAUAUAAAGAGACUAACCCUAGUCCUAACCUGUCCCAUCCUCCUAUUCCAUGCCGCCGCCACCACUCACUAUCCCACCUCGGGAUCUCCUCCCGAUCCAAAAACCCACCGGGUCAACCACCUUCUCCCCUCGACCCUCCCAGAUCCACCUCUCCAAUCCGCCUCUGACCACCUCCCUGGUUUACCGCGCCGCCCAAAUCGCAGCAGCCAACCAUCAUUCUCCUACCUCCUGCCCGAGCAAGCACGGCCAAGGCCACACUCACCGAAGUUCUGUACCAACCCAAGCUGCUCCGCCUCCGUUGUCGUCCCAGCGGAGUCCCGUCCUCCCGAGCUCUCCCGCAGGCAGCCCAGUGCACGCUUCAGUCAGGAUCGGGGUGGCUACCCGUGCAGCAAACAGGAGCACGAGCCCCUCCUUCCACACCCCGCAGCUGAGGGACGCCCCGACCCCGUUGUUCAUCGCCGAACCAGUAGAUGAUCCUCGCCACCCUUGCUCAAGGUCGCGCCUGCCGCUCGGAACCGCAGGCCCUCCUCAGCGCAUAGCUCCUCCCGUUUCUCCCUCUCUUAUCUCUCUCUGUUCUCAUGUUUCUCUGUCGACAGGAGCAUCCGCGCCAUGGCCUCGCUGAGCUUUGCCCGCACCAGCGCCUCGAUGAGAUCCUCGCCUGCCCUGCGCCAUGGACCCGUGCCAGCCUUCCUUCCCCGCGCCGUUCCUCGCGCGCCGGACCUCCCCAACUUCGCCGGAGCACCGCAGUGUCCGCUUGAUCCUCUGCUUCAUCGCCGCCAUGGGUCACGAGAGCCUCGAUCCCCCUGCCAUGUCGCCUCGCCAGGACAUACCGAUCGCCCGGAUCCGUGUCUCCGCCGUCUUGCCCGUUCCGGCCGGAUCCCGCCGGCUGGGCCCUGUCCCCGGUCACCGAUGCCCUCGCCGGAGACCACCGGCAAGCGGCAGCGCCAAGCCCGCCUGCAAGCCGCUCCAGCACCGCUGCUCCUCUGCUUCUCUGUCGAACAGAGGGCGCCGCGCCCGUAUCCUCCCCGCUUCGCGCAUCUGGGCCCAGCCAGCGCCAAGCCAGCCUGCCUGUCCUCUUCACCAACGGGCCAAGCCCAUGGUGAGCAGCGCCCUCCUGUUCCUCGCUGUGUGCUAUUCUGCUAUGCUGCGCCCUUCAGUUUCGGCCCAUAACCUGUUUUUUCUGUUCUGCCAAUUUCCUAAGUAUUCCGGAGAUUGCAGUUUUACAGAAACCCCCCCUAGUUUCAUGCAUUUAAUAACUUCACAACCGUGCAUCGGAUCUAAAUAAAUUAUAUAUGAAACUUGCUUAGAAUUUUGUCUAGAUUCAUAAUAUCCAACUUUCAUCUAUGUUUGAAAUGUUUAAAAUGUUGUUUGAUUAAAUUUUCUCCUAUGCCAUGUUAAAAUGCUUUAAUUCAUAACUAAUUAACCGUAGCUCCAAAUUUAAUAAACUUUAUAUGUAAAUGGGGUAGAAUUUGGCCUAGUUUAUCAUGGUGACAUUGUUUUGCAUGUUAAACAACUCUAAAAAUAUGGUUUAUGGCAUAACAGGACCUAACCUAAUAUAUGCACAUGAGGAGUUUCCGGAUUUGUUGUUCGUUGCUUCCGGCCUCAUUUAACCUUGUCUAGAUGUGUAGUUUGUUUAUGCUUCAUCUCUUGCCAUGUUAAGAACAUUUAAUAUUAUUGGGGUACAUAAACGAGAGAGAACUAAAUAAUUGAUGUGGUGUUCCGUCAAUAUGCAACCCGUUGCAUAUUGAGCUCCACUUAACUUGUAGUGUUGUUUGUGCACUUUGCCAUGCCAUGCAUAUUUAAACCGGACAUGCAUCAUACUUCGUUGUGCAUCAUUCCAUGUUUAUGUGAUGUUUGUUUACGGUGUUGUUUGCUUCUUUCCGGUGAUGCUUCUUCGAGUUGUAUCCGGUAACGUCGUGUUGUGAGGAUUCGUUCGUCUACGUCCGUUUGUCUUCUUCAUGGACUCGUUCUUCUUCCUUGCGGGAUUUCAGGCAAGAUGACCAUACCCUCGAAAUCACUUCUAUCUUUGCUUGCUAGAUGCUCGCUCUUUUGCUAUGCCUAUGCUGCGAUACCUACCACUUGCUUAUCAUGCCUCCCAUAUUGUUGAACCAAGCCCCUAACUCACCUUGUCCUAGCAAACCGUUGAUUGGCUAUGUUACCGCUUUGCUCAGCCCCUCCUAUAGCGUUGUUAGUUGCAGGUGAAGAUUGGAGCUUGUUCCAUGUUGGAACAUGGAUAUUUUGUUGGGAUACCACAAUAUAUCUUAUUUAAUUAAUGCAUCUAUAUACUUGGUAAAGGGUGGAAGGCUCGGCCUUAUGCUUGGUGUUUUGUUCCACUCUUGCCGCCCUAGUUUCCGUCAUAUCGGUGUUAUGUUCCCGGAUUUUUCGGUCCUUACGCGGUUGGGUAAUAAUGGGAACCCCUUGACAGUUCGCUUUGAAUAAAACUCCUCCAGCAAGGCCCAACCUUGGUUUUACCAUUCGCCACCUAGCCUUUUUCCCUUGGGAGUCACGCAUCCCGAGGGUCAUCUUUAUUUUAAACCCCCCGGGCCAGUGCUUGUCUAAGUGUUGGUCCAAACUAGAGCCACUUGCGGCGCCACCUCGGGGAAACUUGAGGGAUGGUUUUAGCUGUACGUAGUGUUCAUCCGGUGUUGCCCUGAGAACGAGAUAUGUGCAGCUCCUAUCAGGAUGUCGGCGCAUCGGGCGGUCUUGCUGGACUUGUUUUACCAUUGUCGAGGAUGUCUUGUAGAACCGGGAUACCGAGUUUGAUCGGAAUGUCUCGGGAGGAGGUCUAUUCCUUCGUUGACCGUGAGAGCUUGUCAUGGGCUAAGUUGGGACACCCCUGCAGGGAUUUGAACUUUUGAAAAACGUGCCCGCGGUUAUGGGCAGAUGGGAAUUUGUUAAUGUCCGGUUGUAGAUAACUUGAACCUUAACUUAAUUAAAAUGAGUCAACUGCGUGUGUAACCAUGAUGGUCUCUUUCCGGUGGAGUCCGGGAAGUGAACACGGUGUUGGAGUUAUGCUUGACGUAGGUUGUUCUAGGAUCACUUCUUGAUCAUACUUUUAUCGACCGUGCUUUGCCUUCUCUUCUCGCUCUCAUUUGCGUAUGUUAGCCACCAUAUAUGCUAGUCGCUUGCUGCAGUUCCACCUCAUACCUUUGUCUUACCCAUAAGCUUAAAUAGUCUUGAUCGCAAGGGUGCGAGAUUGCUGAGUCCCCGUGGCUCACAGAUACUUCCAAAACCAGCUUGCAGGUGUCGUUGAACCGUGCAGAUGACGCAACCAAGCUCAAGGAGGACCUCGAUGAAGAUCUUGCCCUUUGUGUUGUUUCGUUCUAGUUGAUCAGUAGUGGAGCCCAGUUGGGGUCGAUCGGGGAUCUGUGUAGCUUUUGGGGUAGUCUUCUUUUAUUUUGGGUUCCAUAGUCGGACCUUGAUUGUAUCUGGUUGAUGUAAUGCUUUAAUUCAUGUAUUGUGUGAAGUGGCGAUUGUAAGCCAACUAUGUAUUCUUUUCCCUUAUGUAUUACAUGGGUUGUGUGAAGAUUACCUCACUUGCGACAUUGCUUUCAAUGCGGUUAUGCCUCUAAGUCGUGCUUCGACACGUGGGAGAUAUAGCCGCAUCGAGGGCGUUACAAGUUGGUAUUAGAGCCUUCCCCGACCAUAGGAGCCCCCAUUGCUUGAUCGUUUUUAGCGGCCGAGUUGUGUCUAGAAAGAUGUUUUGAGUCAUUUAGGAUUUAUAUAUCGGAGAGUUUAGGAAUUCUUUUUACUCCCCAGUCUCCUCAUCGCUCUGGUAAGGCAUCCUGACGUAGAGUUUUGACUCUUCUCUUCUCAAAUUUCACUAAACUUUUAUUAGGAUCACGCGGGUAUCUUGGAAUCGUUCCGAUCGUUUUGUGAUGAGAACAUUGUCUUGGUGCCUCCUGUCAGGGGUUUUGUGGCAGUGUCCCGGGGAGUUGAGCUCCCAGGUGUUGUCGUCAUAAUUUUAUCGUUGCAGUUCUGGAAUACCUGAGUUUAGUUCGCCGACAUCGAAAAUCUCUUUUAUGCAGUUGUUGGUGAGAUAACCUCGACACCACCCAGUACUGGGGCGGGAGUUCGGGAGUAUUGCCAUAGCUUGUAUAACGGAUGCUUUUCGAAGGUUGAGGUAGAUGAUUUCCGAAGGUUUCUUGGUUAUGUGUUGAAGGAUGGAUACAGCUGGAUGUAGAAUUUGCUAGCUUUGGGUGAGAUAUUAUGCUUCCCCUGUAUCCCCAACACCUGAUUGCAUAACCAGAAAAUUUCGGGAGUUUAUAAGUGGGAAUUCAAGUAGCUCUUAGGACAUCUUUCCGUCAGAUGUAUGAUAUGAAAUUGGGGUUCGACGUCUAGUGGUCCGCCUAUUCACGGUUGGUUUUAUAGUGGUCUCGUUGUGUCUUAAAGAGUCCUUGGCUAUGCUGACUCGGGGACGCUUUGUAUGUCAUGUGCACUGCCUUGUACAUGAUGGUGUUGUACGAUCGAGCCCGUGUAGGCCCCACCAUGAAAACUUCGGACGAAAUCUCUAUCAUAUGUUUGUUCUGGCUUAUUUUGCAAGCCAAUCCUUUGUUUUGUUUUUGAAUUGUGGUAUUCGAGUUGCUUCAAUGUCAAGUGUUGAUUCCAUACCUUCCCCAAAUGGUGUUCUCAUACUCCGAUGUGAAUACUAAUCCUUCUCGAUAAUCGAGAUUGUUAUGCCAAUCUUGUUCUACCGGGGUGUCUCUCUUCAAGUGGAUCCGAUCACUUCAACAUUCACAAGAUCAAUUAUCAGUUCUUCUCAAUUUUGUUUGUUUCAUCCAUCUCCAAGUUGCUUUUGUUUUUUCCCGCCCUCCCUCCCUUGUUUUUCUUUAAGGACUCAGAUUUCUUAAUCGAGUAUCCAUCUUAUUGAUGUGAAGCCUCUCUAUUCUUUUCCUUCAAUGUUCUUAUCCGGUGAUUCUCAUGAAGAUACUAACGGAACUUCUAGUUCAUCAUUCUUCGUUUCUUUUAUCUUCUCCGGUGGUUUCAAGUCAAGCUUUGUGGAUCAUAUCCUUUUUCCUCGUUUCAAUACAUUUUCUUACCGGUGCACCUCUUUAUCAUUCACCGCUCGCUAUUCUAUUGUUCCGGAGUGCUCAAGAUAUCUCGAAGAUUCGUGUCUCCACUCUACGUUCAUUCAAGCUCUUUCGAGGAAGUUAUCUCAUUCAAGUCUUUUAAUUCAACAGGUGCAUUCUCUCUUUUAAAUCCUUCAACGGUGUUUUCUUUUGAGUGGGCCCUAACCCACAGGUCUUUUCCCAGGAUCUUACCUGACUCUUCUUAUUUUCCCGGAGCUAUCCUCAAAUUUCUUUUUGAAGUUUGACGUAAGAACGAUUUAUCAUCAGUCAAAUGCUUUUCUCCAAGAUCUGUCGAAUUAUUUUCAUCGUUGGCUCAACCUCUUCGUUUUGAUUCUUCUGGAGUGUCUAAAUAAUUCUUGGUGGUGUUUCUCGUCGUCAUUCUCAACAUUUGAAGACCGAAGAAGAGUUUUUCCUCCAUAUCUUAUCCGUUCUCUCAGAGACUCGUGGUUCUAGCUUGAUGCCAUCCUCUCAUAAUUGUUUUGAUCGUGAGAAUUCUUUUCACCCACCCGGAGCAAUUCAAGAUUCUUUUCAGUUUGUUUCUCCGGAGCCCAUCAUCUCAGAAUUUAUUCAUUCUCAGCUUUCAGCUAUGGUUCUCCAAAUCUUACCGGUGAUUCGUUCAAGUGAUCUCUAAUCAGUUUGUGAUCCCUUCGUUCUCAUGUAUCUAGAUUCUCUCGAGCAUCUUCGUUCAUUUGCAAAUUCUUCCCGGUGAUUCGUUAUCUUUUAUUCGUUCUUUUUCAAUUCUUACGGUGGUUCGUUCAAGAGUUCUCUUCCUUGGUUAUUAUAUCAAUGCAUUCGUGCUUUCCAAAUGCUAACGGUGGUUCAUUGAAGUCUUUUCUCAAGUUUGUGCUAUAUAUAUCUUAAUCCUUUCUACGAGAAUAAGUAAUAUGCUAAAUCCGUUCAUUGUCAUCAAUUUAAUUGGUGAAGGAUAAGCAUAACAUAAUUCUUAUUCUUGUUCAUCCAAGUGAUUAAUUCCUUACUCCGGAGGCUCAUCAAAUUCUUGAUUUCACUUGUUCAUCUUUCUUUUCUGGAGUUCCAAGCUUUUCCGCAUUAUCUCGUCGCAAAGCUCCAUCUAAAUCAUUGCAAGGCUUCACCUUGUGUUUUCAACUACCCUUUCUUUCCGUUUGAUCAUUCUUUUGUUAACGGAGUUCUUCAUGGAGGCUCUACAUGAUGGUUCAUCAAGAAUUUAAUUCCUUCCCGAAGUGUUCAUUGAGAUUCUUUUCAGAGGAGCUCAAGCAAUCUCCAUCUUGCAACCCGGAGUGCAAUUCUUUCUUCCGUAUCAUUGGAGGUGGUAUUUUGUCAUUCUUGAUAAUCUGAGUUCAUGCUUCAUGAUUCGAAUGUUGUUAAGAAUGAGAUAUUUUAAAUCCAUCAACCUCUUCGUUGGAAUUAUCUUGGGUUAUAUUUUACCUAAAGCCUUCCCUAAGGAUUGUUGCUAUCUAUGGUGAUUAUAAAUGAUCCAAGUUCUUCAUUUAUCCUCCGGGUGAAAGAAUCUUCUCGUCUCCUUGUUCGUAUCAAUCCAAUUUAUCAUUUUCAUUAGUGGCAGAAUUUCACCUCGUAGUUUUGAGAUGUUCUUCAUAAGCCCACUACAAGCUUACUCUUUUCGUUGUUGGUGCAAUAACUCCGUUCGACUUUUCUCCUGAGGAUGCCUUUUCAAGCUCUUUUAUGGUAGAAGUUGGCAUUUUCUUCUCCAUUCUUUUAUUUCAAUUAUCUAUAUUUCUAUUCUUUCGUUCCGGAGGCAUUGUGGUGUUGUUCUUUUCACCCAUCUUCUUGUUUGGUCAGGACCGUGUUCUUUUCUCGGUUUAUCCAUUUAACCGGAGUGUUGUGCCCUUCUGUUCAAGUUCUUUUCGUCUUAUCAAGUUUCAUAUCUCUUUCUACCGGAGUGCUGUCCGAAUUUGUUCUUCCUUGUUCCUCUUCCCUACCGGAGUGUUUUCAACUUUGUUCUUCUUUGUUGCAUUAUUCCUUUCAAUUUGUUCAACCUCUCAAGGUUCUUUGGUUUCACUCGUUUGUCAAAGAAGCAACUUAGUUUUACCCCACUUAUCUUUCUCUUCCGUUUUCCCCUCCGGUGCCAUUCUAGAUCUCGGGACGAGAUCCUCUCGUAGUGGUGGAGCGUUGUAACGCCCCGAGACCGAUGUGCCAGGUGUCCUCCAGUUAUUCGCUGUUGUUGCCUUGUCUUUGCUUGCGUGUCAUGCAUUUCAUGUCAUGUCAUCAUCCGCGUUGCAUCAUCAUGUUUUAAAACUUGCAUUCGUCCGGGUUCUCCGAGUUCUCUCUGUUGUCCGUUCUGAGCCCAAUCACACUUGCACGCGCCCGCGGCAUGUCCAAAAUAGUAUUUUAUAAGUGGCCGGAAAAUGUUCUCAGAAUGGGAUGAAAGUUGGCAUGUGGUGUUGUUAUGUUGUUAGUAGGUCGCCUGCCAAGUUUCAUCGCAUUCGGAGCUUGUUUGAUAGCCCAACCGUUAAACUAUAGCGGCAAUAUAGCCGGGUCUAACGUCGGGCGUUUUCUGUCUCCGGAAACAGAAGCAGGGCUUCUCUCUCUUCUCUCCUCUCAACCUGAUGCCUUCUGCACAGCCCACAAGCUCCAACCUACCCCUCUUCGCGUCCGGAGCCGUUCGAUGCGAUCGCACGGUCCGAAAACCCCUCCUGCGCAGUGCACCGACCCCUCACAUGCGCGUCCGAGACUGUCCCGAACCCGACCCGAUCAGUUGUCACUGUUGGACUCAGAACAUCCCCAAAUAUCUACAAAACAUCUCCGUUUUGUUAAUUGGACUUCCUAACAUAUAUUUUCUCGGUCGUCCGAUUAUAAUCGUACGGACCGAAUACCCCCUACCCUAAUCCAACCUGCUAUAUAAAGAAACUAACCCUAUUCCUAACCUGUCCCAUCCUCCUAUUCCAUGCCGCCGCCACCGCUCACCAUCCCACCUCGGGAUCUCCUCCCGAUCCAAAAACCCACCGGGCCAACCACCUUCUCCCCUCGACCCUCCCAGAUCCACCUCUCCAAUCCGCCUCCGACCACCUCCCUGGUUUACCGCGCCGCCCAAAUCGCAGCAGCCAACCAUCAUUCUCCUACCUCCUGCCCGAGCAAGCACGGCCAAGGCCACGCUCACCGAAGUUCUGUACCAACCCAAGCUGCUCCGCCUCCGUUGUCGUCCCAGCGGAGUCUCGUCCUCCCGAGCUCUCCCGCAGGCAGCCCAGUGCACGUUUCAGUCGGGAUCGGGGUGGCUACCCGUGCAGCAAACAGGAGCACGAGCCCCUCCUUCCACACCCCGCAGCUGAGGGACGCCCUGACCCCGUUGUUCCUCGCCGAACCAACAGAUGGUCCUCGCCACCCUUGCUCAAGGUCGCGCCAGCCGCUCGGAACCGCAGGCCCUCCUCAGCGCAUAGCUCCUCCCGUUUCUCCCUCUCUUAUCUCUCUCUGUUCUCAUGUUUCUCUGUCGACAGGAGCAUCCGCGCCAUGGCCGCGCUGAGCUUUGCCCACACCAGCGCCUCGACGAGAUCCUCGCCUGCCCCGCGCCAUGGACCCGUGCCAGCCUUCCUUCCCCGCAUCGUUUCUCGCGCACCGGACCUCCCCAACUUCGCCGGAGCACCGCAGUGUCCGCUUGAUCCUCUGCUUCAUCGCCGCCAUGGGUCACGAGAGCCUCGACCCCCCUGCCAUGUCGCCUCGCCAGGACAUAUCGACCGCCCGGAUCCGUGUCUCCGCCGUCUUGCCCGUUCUGGCCGGAUCCCGCCGGCUGGGCCCUGUCCCCGGUCACCGAUGCCCUCGCCGGAGACCACCGGCAAGCUGCGGCGCCAAGCCCGCCUGCAAGCCGCUCCAGCACCGCUGCUCCUCUGCUUCUCUGUCGAACAAAGGGCGCCGCGCCCGUAUCCUCCCCGCCUCGCGCAUCUGGGCCCAGCCAGCGCCAAGCCAGCCUGCCCGGCCUCUUCACCAACGGGCCAAGCCCAUGGUGAGCAGCGCCCUCCUGUUCCUUGUUGUGUGCUAUUCUGCUAUGCUGCGCCCUUCAGUUUCGGCCCAUAACCUGUUUUUUCUGUUCUGCCAAUUUCCUAAGUAUUCCGGAGAUUGCAGUUUUACAGAAAACCCCCCUAGUUUCAUGCAUUUAAUAACUUCACAACCGUGCAUCGGAUCUAAAUAAAUUAUAUAUGAAACUUGCUUAGAAUUUUGUCUAGAUUCAUAAUAUCCAACUUUCAUCUAUGUUUGAAAUGUUUAAAAUGUUGUUUGAUUAAAUUUGCUCCUAUGCCAUGUUAAAAUGCUUUAAUUCAUAACUAAUUAACCGUAGCUCCAAAUUUAAUAAACUUUAUAUGUAAAUGGGGUAGAAUUUUGCCUAGUUUAUCAUGGUGACAUUGUUUUGCAUGUUAAACAACUCUAAAAUAUGGUUUAGGGCAGAACAGGACCUAACCUAAUAUAUGCACAUGAGGAGUUUCCGAAUUUGUUGUUCGUUGCUUCCGGCCUCAUUUAACCUUGUCUAGAUGUGUAGUUUGUUUAUGCUUCAUCUCUUGCCAUGUUAAGAACAUUUAAUAUUGUUGGGGUACAUAAACGAGAGAGAACUAAAUAAUUGAUGUGGUGUUCCGUCAAUAUGCAACCCGUUGCAUAUUGAGCUCCACUUAACUUUUAGUGUUGUUUGUGCACUUUGCCAUGCCAUACAUAUUUAAACCGGACAUGCAUCAUACUUCGUUGUGCAUCAUUCAUGUUUAUGUGAUGUUUGUUUACGAUGUUGUUUGCUUCUUUCCGGUGAUGCUUCUUCGAGUUGUAUCCGGUAACGUCGUGUUGUGAGGAUUCGUUCGUCUACGUCCGUUUGUCUUCUUCAUGGACUCGUUCUUCUUCCUUGCGGGAUUUCAGGCAAGAUGACCAUACCCUCGAAAUCACUUCUAUCUUUGCUUGCUAGAUGCUCGCUCUUUUGCUAUGCCUAUGCUGCGAUACCUACCACUUGCUUAUCAUGCCUCCCAUAUUGUUGAACCAAGCCCCUAAUCCACCUUGUCCUAGCAAACCGUUGAUUGGCUAUGUUAUCGCUUUGCUCAGCCCCUCUUAUAGCGUUGUUAGUUGCAGGUGAAGAUUGGAGCUUGUUCCAUGUUGGAACAUGAAUAUUUUGUUGGGAUAUCACAAUAUAUCUUAUUUAAUUAAUGCAUCUAUAUAUUUGGUAAAGGGUGGAAGGCUCGGCCUUAUGCCUGGUGUUCUGUUCCACUCUUGCCGCCCUAGUUUCCGUCAUAUCGGUGUUAUGUUCCCGGAUUUUUUGAUCCUUACGCGGUUGGAUAAUAAUGGGAACCCCUUGACAGUUCGCUUUGAAUAAAACUCCUCCAGCAAGGCCCAACCUUGGUUUUACCAUUCGCCACCUAGCCUUUUUCCCUUGGGAGUCGCGCAUGCCGAGGGUCAUCUUUAUUUUAAACCCCCCGGGCCAGUGCUUGUCUAAGUGUUGGUCCAAACUAGAGCCACUUGCGGCGCCACCUCGGGGAAAUUUGAGGGCUGGUUUUAGCUGUACGUAGUGUUCAUCCGGUGUUGCCCUGAGAACGAGAUAUGUGCAGCUCCUAUCAGGAUGUCGGCGCAUCGGGCGGUCUUGCUGGACUUGUUUUACCAUUGUCGAGGAUGUCUUGUAGAACCGGGAUACCGAGUUUGAUCGGAAUGUCUCGGGAGGCGGUCUAUUCCUUCGUUGACCGUGAGAGCUUGUCAUGGGCUAAGUUGGGACACCCCUGCAGGGAUUUGAACUUUUGAAAGCCGUGCCCGUGGUUAUGGGUAGAUGGGAAUUUGUUAAUGUCCGGUUGUAGAUAACUUGAACCUUAACUUGAUUAAAAUGAGUCAACUGCGUGUGUAACCGUGAUGGUCUCUUUCCGGCGGAGUCCGGGAAGUGAACACGGUGUUGGAGUUAUGCUUGACGUAGGUUGUUCUAGGAUCACUUCUUGAUCAUACUUUUAUCGACCGUGCUUUGCCUUCUCUUCUCGCUCUCAUUUGCGUAUGUUAGCCACCAUAUAUGCUAGUCGCUUGCUGCAGCUCCACCUCAUACCUUUGUCUUACCCAUAAGCUUAAAUAGUCUUGAUCGCGAGGGUGCGAGAUUGCUGAGUCCCCGUGGCUCACAGAUACUACCAAAACCAGCUUGCAGGUGUCGUUGAACCGUGCAGAUGACGCAACCAAGGAGCUCGAUGAAGAUCUUGCCCUUUGUGUUGUUUCGUUCUAGUUGAUCAGUAGUGGAGACCAGUUGGGGUCGAUCGGGGAUCUGUGUAGCUUUUGGGGUAGUCUUCUUUUAUUUUGGGUUUCGUAGUCGGACCUUGAUUGUAUCUGGUUGAUGUAAUGCUUUAAUUCAUGUAUUGUGUGAAGUGGCGAUUGUAAGCCAACUAUGUAUUCUUUUCCCUUAUGUAUUACAUGGGUUGUGUGAAGAUUACUUCACUUGCAACAUUGCUUUAAAUGCGGUUAUGCCUCUAAGUCAUGCUUCGACACGUGAGAGAUAUAGCCGCAUCAAGGACGUUACAGUGUCGUUCCAUAGGUUGCUUGUGGACGUGGUUGUGGUACUCGCGCCGCCACCGUGCCGAGCGUGAGUCGUGACUCAGGCUUUCACUCGGCUAAUCAAAAGCUGAUGGCGUACCUGUCUUCGGAUUCAACCGCACGUGCGUGCCACGUCACCCAAUAUUUAUAUAUCGUAUUUAUUUAUAGCAAUAGCAUCUCACAUGUCUAAAUCAAACCGAUCCUUGAGCAUACUUUUCUGGCCAUUUGUGUUGAUGGAGGAAUGUGAGGUAUCAGCAUCAAGGACUCCGUGGCCCAUUGGAUAAGGCGCUGGUCUACGAAACCAGAGAUUCUGGGUUCGAUCCCCAGCGGAGUCGUUUUUUUUAUCAUUUUUUGGUUCUAUAUAUACUAUAUAUAUCAGCAAAUACUCCCUAUUAGAUUUGUCCAAAGUCAAUCUUAUCCAACUUUGACCAAGUUUAUAUAAAAAAUUAUAGACAUUCACAUAACAACAUCAAUAUCAUUAGAUUCAUCUUGGAAUAUAUUUUCAUAUUAUAUUUAUUAGAUAUUAUAUAUGCUAAUAAUUUCUAAUAUAAAUUUAGUCAAACUUAGCAAAGUUUGACUUUCAGCAAAUCCAAUGUGCAGAGUAAAAAGGACCGGAGGGAGUACUUCCAUCCUUCGCUCAACUCAACAAAGAAAAGAAAAAUUCUUCACUUUCGUGAUACAGACAGCCAACUCAGCGGAAUCGCUUUUUUAUCAUUUUUUUGUUCUAUAUAUACUAUAUAUAUUAGCAAAUACUCCCUAUUAGAUUUGUCCAAAGUCAAUCUUAUCCAACUUUGACGAAGUUUAUAUAAAAAAUUAUAGACAUUCACAUAACAACAUCAAUAUCAUUAGAUUCAUCUUGGAAUAUAUUUUCAUAUUAUAUUUAUUAGAUAUUAUAUAUGCUAAUAAUUUCUAAUAUAAAUUUAGUCAAACUUAGCAAAAUUUGACUUUCAGCACAUCCAAUGUGCAGAGUAAAAAGGACAGGAGGGAGUACUUCCAUCCUUCGCUCAACUCAACAAAGAAAAGAAAAAUUCUUCACUUUCGUGAUACAGACAGCCAACUCAGCGGAGUCGUUUUUUUUAUCAUUUUUUUGUUCUAUAUAUACUAUAUAUAUCAGCAAAUACUCCCUAUUAGAUUUGUCCAAAGUCAAUCUUAUCCAACUUUGACCAAGUUUAUAUAAAAAAUUAUAGACAUUCACAUAACAACAUCAAUAUCAUUAGAUUCAUCUUGGAAUAUAUUUUCAUAUUAUAUUUAUUAGAUAUUAUAUAUGCUAAUAAUUUCUAAUAUAAAUUUAGUCAAAUUUAGCAAAGUUUGACUUUUAGCAAAUCCAAUGUGCAGAGUAAAAAGGACCGGAGGGAGUACUUCCAUCCUUCGCUCAACUCAACAAAGAAAAGAAAAAUUCUUCACUUUCGUGAUACAGACAGCCAACUCAAUAUAUCUGUCGUCUGUUUGAGGCAUGCCAUUGCCGCCCAAAAUAUUACGCAUCUUGACAAUUAUCCGUCAGUUGCUGUAAGUGUAGGAAACGAUACACUAUUUUUUAGAUAUAUAACAAAAAGGCUACAUGGCCCUGCUUUUAUUUAAUAGAAAGCAGCAAGGACACGAUAUGCUGUUACAAAGGCCAAGUCAGCUAAUCAAGCGAUUUUCGACAAUAAUCGCUGCUCCGGGCCUCCACUCCACCUGAAGAACAGAGGUUUCCCUUCUCUUCAGAUCAGCCAUUCUAUCUCCUCACCCAUGGAGGAGGCCACAGGACAAGGCAGGCUUUCCUCCGUGUUUUGAGGAUCGCGGCAGAACUACAACAAGGCCGAUGAACCACGACGCGCAAUCAAGUUUUCAUGGCGUCGAUGAUGCCGCAUCGCUGCAAAGGGAGAGGGGAGAAGGGUGUCAUCAUGUUAAGUCAACUGUGCACAACAACCGUAGAGGGGACUGCUGUCAUGGCAGGAAACAAGGAUAUACCAUUUCAGGGGAAGGUUGUCACGUACAGCGAUGCUAGGCGCAGCAGCACUUCCCCUUGGAGUCCCUUCGAGCGACGGCCAUUUCAGCGGCACCGCUAUGCCGUGCAGUAAUCCAAUCUUUGCACAUGGCGCUGGUCAUCGACCGCAUGACCGGAGGACAUGACAUGACCAGAGGACAUGACGUGGAUACCGUGUCCACUAAUUUCCCAGGAGUAUCCUUGGCAGUUGUGGUGAAACAGAAUCCCCAACAGCCUACAUGCAGGAAAUCAGAGCUUCAGUACUUAAUAGAAAAGAUGCCAUGGAUUCAUGGUGCGCCAAAUAAAUAAACCUAUCAUAAACGUGCAUUCAUAGUUUUCCAUUCCAAAUAACUAACAGCACCAUAUUUUAUAGGAUAAUGCAACCGAAAAUUGGCAUGUAUCAUCAACAUUUCAAUAUCAUCUAGAAGAACCAGGCAAUUAUAUAUAGCCUAUGUACGGAACCAUGCGGAAGGAAUAUAGACUUACUUUAACAGCAAAUCAUCUGUUGAUCAGGAUCAAUGAAUUCAUCCCUCCGAUACUGCAGUUGCUUUCUGCAGGCGCAGAUUUGUUCAUCAAGUAUCCAUCAAAAACAUUGUUUCUUAACAAAGGGCCAUAGAACAGUCUAGCCUACAUAGUUAACAUAAAGGAAUUAAUUAUGGUUGCUAGUGAUCAACAGUUUUAGGUUCAAGUUUCGAGUGCACUAAGUUUGUUGAAGUACCAAUAAUGAUCGGAAUACAAAUGAAAGAUGGAGAUCACAAAAACUCACAAAUGGUACAGCCUCACACAUCAAAUUCAUAGGAUUAUGAAUCAUGAUAUACUUCUACCAGAAAGCUAUUGUGCCUAUUUCCAAAAUUGUAUUAAGCAAGCUAGAUACUCCAUGUAUGUGAACACCAAACAAUUUAAUAGGGGCAGACAUAUUAUAGGUUGACAAGAGAAAACAAUAUCAUCAAACUACGGACAACAUAAAUUAACAGCAUUCAAACAUGAGCAGUUGAGCAAAAAUACCAAAUGAGAAGAUUUAUGUAGAACUUGUCUUCUAUGUGCAUUCACAGUUCCUAAACUACAGUUGCAUGCGAUAUAAAUACUGCACCACCAAAAAAACGUAUUCAUAUCCAUCAUUUUUUGGUUGAGAGGUUAAACAAAAUGAACUUCCAGGAAAGUUUGCUCAAUUUACCUUACUCUCAGUCUUGAGACGUAUGCCAUACUAGAGUUGCAAAUUCUAGUAAGAGGGUGGCCUGAGUUCCUUUAGUCGCCGAACAACUUGCUUCAUUGUGGGCCUAGAAGAAAGAGAGUCCACAGUGCACUUGAUACCGAGGUGCAGAAUCUCAACCAAGUCAUCAUGCGGAGCCACAUCCCACAGCCCUUCUAUGAAGAACUCACGAGCUCGGCCCUUCUGCAGAAGCAUGCAAGCCCAGGCAACUAUGUUGAAUCCAUUUCCAUACGGAGAAAAGGAAGGGUCCAGUGCUUUUUUGUCUGAAAUAAGUUCAAGCAGUACAACUCCGUAGCUGUACACAUCAGCCUUAUCAGAAACACGGCAAGUCAUCGCAUACUCUGGAGCAACAUAUCCAAAAGUACCCGCGACACCGGUGGUUGCAUGAGUUUCUGAAUUCCCAAGUAGUCUUGCUAAUCCAAAAUCAGAAAGGUAUGCAGUGUACUCAUUGUCAAGCAAGAUGUUGCUUGGCUUCACAUCCCGGUGCAGAAUACGUGGGACACAAUUAUCAUGAAGGUAUGCAAGUGCACGUGCAAUAUCUAGAGCAAUUUUGUGAAGCAUUCUCCAAUCGAUUGGUCUCUUUGUCCUUUCUUGUAUGAACCUUUCCAAGUUACCGCCGGGCAGAAAAUUGUAAAUUAGAAACAUCUCUGAAUCACUGAGGUGGUACCCUAUGAGCGUUACAAGAUUGUCAUGCCGACACCUUCCAAGAGUUUUCACCUCUGCUUGGAACUGCUGAAUACCUUGGAACCUUCCAAUAGCGAGCCUCUUUAUUGCCACCAGAAUGCCUGGUGCAAUCUCAGCUUUGUAUGUUGCUCCAAAGCCACCACUUCCAAUGCAAUUGCUUGCAUUAAAACUGCCAGCAGCGCGUACAACGGUCUCAUAUGUCAAAGGAGCACCAAUAUCCACAAAAACAGUCACUUCCCUUCUCCUGUUAGAACGCCUUGAUGGUCUUGAUGCACAUUUACGAGUGUAAAUGUAAAGGAUGAUCAGGGCCAAGAGAACUGCAACAAUCGCUGAUGCUGAGGUUAUUGAGGCAAUCUCUAUUUUGGUGAAGCCUCCACCAUCGCUGGGUGUAUUCUCAGGUUCUGGACUACCAUCAUUCUCACUGAGUGCUCGCACAUUCGAAUGCAACGGCCCAGCCAAGUUAUUGAAUGAAAUGUUAAAAACAGACGGUGAUGAUACUGAAGGGGUAAGAUCGGCAAUGUUUCCAGAGAGCUCAUUAUUGUUCAGCAGAAGUGUGGUGAGGCCUCUCAGUGUCACAAUAUUACUAGGGAUAUUCCCAGAGAGAGAAUUAGAUGACAGAUCUAAAACCUCCAGUGAUUUCAACUGCCCCAAAGAGGACGGUAUCUGACCAGUGAUAUUGUUUGCAGCUAACGAGAGAAAUUUCAAGCUCUUGAGGUCUUUGAAACUGGCAGGUAUUUGACCAACCAGAAAGUUUUUGCUGAUGUCCAUCUUUACAAGAGCACCCAACAAACCAAUGUUAGCAGGUAACACUCCUGAAAUUUGAUUCUCGGCUAGAACCAAAACUCUGAUGGCAUUGCAUUUUGAGCAGAUUUCUUCUGUAAGCUCACCAGAUAUCUUGUUGUCUCGGAAGCUGACGAUCAAACCAUUUAAGUUGCUGCACUGUUCCAACAGAAUUGCAUCCAAUGAUCCAGUGAAGUUAUUGUGAUCAAGAAUUAAUGCAUACAAGGUCCUGUUUCCAUAUCUGUGUGCGCUAACAGGCAAGGAUGUAAGACGGCCUCCAAACUUGUUCUUUGCGAAAUUAUGGUAUACAACUGAACACUCUCCUGAUUCACAGUAACCCAAUGAUAGUUGUGCUACAGCUCGGGACAUGAAGGGUGAAGAAUAGCCAGAUGUCACGCCAUCCAACGGUUGCUGUGACGCACACUCUUUGUUCGCAGACGCUGGAAUUGAGCCUGAGAGUUUGUUGCCACUGACAUCAAUCACAUCCAUGCAAUGCAGAUGAAGAUUUUUAUCAAGCGAACCGGACAAUCUAUUGGAACUGAGGUUGAGAAACUUGAGGUUUCGACACUGCCCUAGCUCCCUAGGAAUCACUCCAGCAAGUAAAUUACCUGCGAGAUUGACCAUCUCCAAACUUUGACAGCUUCCCCAAUUGCUUGGGAGAUUCCCUUUCAGGCCCGCCUUCGGCGCCCAUAACAACCUAAGCUUUGGCAAAGCUGUGACACUCUCCGGAAUCUCUCCCUCAAAGAGAUUGAACUCAUGUGAUUUCACUGCAUCAAACUGGCUCGACAACACGAGAACCGACAAACCUGAGCAAUUCCCUAGCUCCCUGGGCACCAGACCGCUCAAUCUGUUACCGGAUACGUCCAAAACCCGCAGCUUGCUCAGCCGUCCAAGCUCUGGUGGGAUGGAACCGUCCAACAUAUUGGAGAAGAGGCGCAACGAGCGGAGCUGCGUGCAGCUCCCCAGAGCAGAGGGGAUGCUCCCAGCAAGAAGGUUCCGGGACAGGUCGAGCUGCCUCAGCCUGGGGAGGCCGCCGACGACCGCCGGCACGGACCCGUUGAGCCGGUUGCCGGAAAGAUCCAAGAACUUCAGCUCCGUGCAGCUGCAGAGGGAGGCAGGGAUCUCGCCGCUGAGCGCGUUGGAGGAGAGGUUGAGCACCCUCAGCCGCGGCGGGAAGGCGGGCGGGAGGGCGCCCCGGAGCGAGUUCCCGGCGAGGUUGACCCCCUCGAGCUUCUCCAGCCGCCAGAUCUCCGCGGGGAUCUCGCCGAAAAGGCCGAGGGAGGGCAGGGAGAGGUGCUUGAGCUCGGUGAGGAGCCCGACCGACGUGGGCAGCUGGGCGGCGACCCCGCUCCCGCUCCCGCGCGGGAAGCUGGAGGGCACGUGGAGGGCGACUACCCGGGACCUCGCAUCGCAGGCGACCCCCGGCCAGGAGCAGUGGUCCGCGCCCGGCGACCACCGGCGGAGCAGCCCGGAGGAGGGGACGGCGUCCCUGAGCCGGAGAAGCGCCGAUCUGUCCCGCUCCCGGCCACGUGGCGACGGGGGCGAGGAAGAGACGGAGACGGCGAGCAGGAGCAGGAGCAGCAGGACGGCGGCGGUGCUCCGGCGAGCGGCCACCAUCUCCGCCCAGCCGAAGGCGACGGGCGGCCGGGGGUGCUGUGGUUGGUGCAGCGGAGGCGACGACCGACGAGGGAGGGAGGGGGGGAGAGGGAGGGGCAAGGCAAGCUCACAUGGGGAAGAAGAAGAGACCGGGCGCGCGCGCGAUAUCGGGGAAGUCGGGGGGGACGGGGGCGAUAUUUUUGCUGCGCCUUGUCUGUUGUCUCCCUCCGUUUUUUGGUUGGUGCUGCUGGAGUGCUGGUGCUGGUGCCGGUCCUCCCCCCGCUUCCCCUUCUGUUGCUUCCUUCGCUGCACUUUCCUCGUCGCCUCCCCCGUCCUCGCGCUGCCCCUCCACUGAUAAUUCCUUCCUCCCUUUCUUUAUUUUUGUAGAAAGAAAAUCGUUUGGGAUUGGACCGUGUUGCCCUCGGAAAGAUGGGUUUUGUUGGCUGCCGGUGGUGCCCAUGCUUUUGGGUUUUGACCGUGUCGUGCCUGCCUUGCUCCCAUUUUCUUUGGGAUGUGGAUGGGGUUAAAGCAGGAUGGUUUCACACAUCAUUGGAACAAACAACAACAACAAAGCCUUUAGUCCCAAACAAGUUGGGGUAUGCUAGAGGUGAAACCCAUAAGAUCUCGCAACCAACUCAUGGCUCUGGCACAUGGAUAGCAAGCUUCCACGCACCCCUGUCCAUAGCUAGCUCUUUGUUGAUACUCCAAUCCUUCAGGUCUCUCUUAACGGACUCCUCCCAUGUCAAAAUCGGUCGACCCCGCCCUCUCUUGACAUUCUCCGCACGCUUUAGCCGUCCGCUAUGCACUGGAGCUUCUGGAGGCCUGCGCUGAAUAUGCCCAAACCAUCUCAAACGAUGUUGGACAAGCUUCUCCUCAAUUGGUGCUACCCCAACUCUAUCUCGUAUAUCAUCAUUCCGGACUCGAUCCUUCCUCGUGUGGCCACACAUCCAUCUCAACAUACGCAUCUCCGCCACACCUAACUGUUGAACAUGUCGCCUUUUAGUCGGCCAACACUCCGCGCCAUACAACAUUGCGGGUCGAACCGCCGUCCUGUAGAACUUGCCUUUUAGCUUUUGUGGCACUCUCUUGUCACAGAGAAUGCCAGAAGCUUGGCGCCACUUCAUCCAUCCGGCUUUGAUUCGAUGGUUCACAUCUUCAUCAAUACCCCCAUCCUCCUGCAACAUUGACCCCAAAUACCGAAAGGUGUCCUUCCGAGGUACCAGCUGGCCAUCAAGGCUAACCUCCUCCUCCUCACAGCUAGUAGUACUGAAACCGCACAUCAUGUACUCGGUUUUAGUUCUACUAAGCCUAAACCCUUUCGAUUCCAAGGUUUGUCUCCAUAACUCUAACUUCCUAUUUACCCCCAUCCGACUAUCGUCAACUAGCACCACAUCAUCCGCAAAGAGCAUACACCAUGGGAUAUCUCCUUGUAUACCCCUUGUGACCUCAUCCAUCACCAAUGCAAAAAGAUAAGGGCUCAAAGCUGACCCCUGAUGCAGUCCUAUCUUAAUCGGGAAGUCAUCGGUGUCGACAUCACUUGUUCGAACACUUGUCACAACAUUAUUGUACAUGUCCUUGAUGAGGGUAAUGUACUUUGCUGGGACUUUGUGUUUCUCCAAGGCCCACCACAUGACAUUUCGCGGUAUCUUAUCAUAGGCCUUCUCCAAGUCAAUGAACACCAUAUGCAAGUCCUUCUUAUGCUCCCUAUAUCUCUCCAUAAGUUGUCGUACCAAGAAAAUGGCUUCCAUGGUCGACCUCCCAGGCAUGAAACCAAACUGAUUUUUGGUUUACAUUUAACAUCUUAGUUCCAAAAAAAAUUACCGCAACGACUAAACGGUGACGGCCUCUUCAAUUCACAUGAUUUCCCAAACACGGGAAUAGUAGGAAUAGAGUGGCAUGACAUGAUCGAUACUACAGGAUGUGAGGAUGUUUGAUUGUGCAGAGGAACGAAGGAUUUUUUUUUUCAAAAAAGUUGGGGUGGAUGAAAAAUUUGCUACACCCUUUGAUCUAUACUAAUUGUUGUUGAUCUAGUACAAAGAAUACUAAGGAAAAAUUCAUGUGGUUUGCAAUGAGACGAAACAAACAACCCAUGUAGGCAAAAGAAAUCCUAAGGAUUAGAAUCCUCCGAGAUUCCUUUGAAAUAAGUUUUAUUGCUACAACCAACAACCUCAAAGACAUCCCCGUCAAGGCCUAGCGAGAUGCCUCCUACAGUACUAACAUAAGGCAAUAAGUGAUAAGAGUAAUUCAUGUGACCAAUAAUACUAUGAAGGAAACCAUCGGCAGUGAUUUCAUGUUUGGUUUCUUAAAAUCCAACAAAAUCAAGUUUGUAUUUAGUAAUUAAAUCUGUGAGGCGUUGUGUUUUGCCAUCUUAACCUAAACCACAUAUGUUUCAAAACAUUCCCAUCGUGAUAUCUUAAAGGGGUGAGACAGAUUGCAAGGCCGUGACUUAGCUGCAUUAUCUAGCAAAACUAUAGAAUUAAAAGUGCCCCCGGUCCAUAUUCAGCAAAAAUGCAAACAACAUGAGUACAAACUCCAGUCUCAGAAAAACUAUCAUCAUCAAGCACAUUUGGUAAAGAUAUCUCCGGGUUUUGAGUAGAAAAAUCCAGACAACUUAAUUUUUCUAAGGUGACCAUGUUACUAAUGAUUUAAUUUUAUCAUGCAGUUUUUACCAACAAUAAAAUAAUAUGAACAACACAUGCAUGAUUACCCAAAGUAGAGCAAGAAAACUCAGUAGAUGACUUACCUUCAAAAGUAGGGGGAUCUCCAAAUUUUUCUUCAUCUUGUUGGUAGCAAGUUUAGCCAUGACAUUUUCUCUGUCAUGGUUCAUGGUAUUAGACCUUUGUAUAACCACUGGAUCCCACUUGCUAGUGUUAACACAAGUUUCUUCUCAAACAAGACCUCCUUCAGGAGACAGCUGCCAAGAACAUCAUAUGCAGCAGGUUGGGCAGAUUUUCCAAUAGACAUUAUUUCCAAAGCAUCAAGAACGGGCCCUCAAAUACUCCCAUUCCAUCUUCCAAAUAAACUUCAUUCUCAUCAAUUUCAGACCCAGAAUCACCCACAUGCUCGAGGAUCUCAGAGCGGUUUACCUUCUGGAUGGACACAGGGGUAUCAACCACAUUGUGAGCGGUUUUAACCUGGAGAGGGGUUUUUGUACCCUCGUUGGGGUCAACACACAUCUUAUGGUCCAAUUCCAAUUCAGCCAUAGUGUUAGAAACAACACUAUGUGUAACAAGCUCAGGAAUAACAUGAACCGUCCCAACAUUAGCAAUAACAUGUUGAGAAGUAAAAACUUCAGAAAAAAGGCAGGGUGAAACUCCACACCAGCCCAAGUUGUUUUCCAGUUGGGUCAUCUCUCCUACUAGUUGUGUCAAGUUCAUCUAUGGGUUCAUCAUCAUCUUUCAAUAAGUCUGUGUCAACCGAAUCAUCACCCAAUGCUUCAAGAUUCCCAACCUCAAUAUCAUCAGGACCAAGAUCAUGAUUAGGAUCAUUUCCUCCCAUUUGUUCAGAACAUUCUAUAGUACAGAAAACGGAUACAACCUCUUUUUCAUUUCAAGAAGCCUCUCAAAAGCGAUUUUAGCUGGAUCACUGCAAGCAAUGUUGAUCCUAACACACUAGCAUAAAAGCUCUUCAUAAGGUCAUUCCAAUCCACAAGGAUACCCAAAAAGGUGAUAAUUUGAGCCAAGACUUUCCAAGAAUGCCAUUUGGUGGGUAACCCAUCAACCUUAAUUAACCCAAGCCUUAAUUUUCUCAACAAAAGUAUCAAUACUGCCAGUCCAUUCAGUCACAUUAACGCAGACGCCAUUGUCAUGAAGAUCAAAAGUUGAAACUCAAUCAAAUCCUCACAAUUUUUCCAAUGAGGAAAUCUAACAAAAAAGAUUUGGGUUCAAUAACUCUAAUUUGCCAAGGCCACUAUUUAUUCUUGUAGAAAAUGGUAGACAAAUUUGUAAGUAAAUCCUCUUGAGAUAUCCCACCUUUGACAACAUUGAUAACAACAUAGCUUCUGGAAUUGAGCCACUUAGCUUCGUCUCUCACUAGAACAUUUGUAUGAUAAAAGCAUAACCCGAGAACAGAACUACAAAAAUAUGUAGCAAUGGUGAAGUUGAGUCCAAGCAGCGCAGUUGUUAACAUUGCGACCUUCUUGAUUACAGAUAAAGCAUGAUUUCGUCUUGAUGCAAUUAUCAACAUAAUGACCUGGACCUCCACAACUAAAUCAGACCAUGUAUAUGUAUCUCGGGUCGCGUACCUGCUGUGUCAGUUCUGGAUUUUUAGUAGCAAUAGUGGGGCGAGGAAGUUUAUGACGCGGUGGAGCUGAAUGAGUUCUUGCCACGGCCCCGACAACCAUCUAUUGCGCGACCAUCAUAGGACAUCCUCCACCCACCAUUGGGGCCCUACCUCCAGCCGACACCCACUACCUGCAUGGCGGGGGAGGAUGAUUUUUGCAGUAACACCGCGGACUUGUCGCUGGUCCGCCAUCGAAGCACUCGCAACCUCCAUGAAGAAUGUAAUCCCGAGCAACCCCCUCAUGAACAACUUUGAAAUUUACUGGAGUGGGAUCAAAUGGGGAAAGUUUCUUCACAGGACAACAAUCGGAUGAUCCAUACAGCUGUACGUGAGUCUGUCGAGGCGACCACGGUACAUUUCUUUGAGGGCUAGAAGAAAAGAUUUGCGAUCUUAUUGAUUUACUGCAAUAUAAUGACACCAUGAGUUACUUCAUCACGCGGGGUGUAUAGAACGUUGGGUAUUGAAAAAGCAUGCUACAAAGAGUCAUCCAACUUAUAACAGUGGGCUAUUUAGUUCUUAUGCUAUUGAUGGCAGGCUUAGUGCUAAACCAGGUACUUCUAUAAGUCAAAAAGCAUUUAAUGGACCAAAAUGGUUGUUGUACCAAAGGAGGUUUCUCAAAUUUCAUCUAGUGUGAUAUCAUGUCACACUACUGCAGUUAAGUCCUAUGCAAAUGGUGUAAAAGCCCUUUCACUAAUAUGGUUCGAACCAUCGCCUUGCUAAGGUGUGCGAUCAGGGGUGCCCAUCGCACACGAUCCAAUAAUCGUCUUUGAUAGGGCUCGAGGACGUAGACAUUCUAGCAAAAGCAUUGUAUGCAAAGACAAGGGAAUCGCAAACGCUAUGCCUAAAGAACGUGUUUGCGAUAUACAAAACUACCUAAAAAUUGUGUGAAAUGAUACAUCUAUCGAUCACGCUCUACAUUGACGUAACGUUUGCAAUGCAGACGACAUCGGAGACAAUUUCUUGACAUGGCGCAUGUGCAAAAAUAUGUCUAUCCCAAACAUUUAAUCUACUACUAUCGCCCACGUUUCCUCUUAAUGAGUGUGUGUGAUAGGUGUUCCUAGCACACACACACACACACACACACUCUUCGAUAGUGCAUCAUGUUCGAUGAUCCAUCAACACACAUGUUUAAAGGUCAGAAACCUAUGUUCUAUUAUGGAUAAUCACACACGUUAUUCGUCAGUGAAACAUGUGUGCUAUAUAUUUCCAUCGCACACGGUUUUAUUUUAGCCAUGUGUACCAUAAUGACCAGCUGCACAACUGCUUGUUUCCUGAUAAUAUACUCCCUACAGUUUAUAAUCCUCCAGAAUUUGAACUGUAAAUUUCCAUAUUUAAAUUAUAAAUUGUAGCAUUCACAUAUUUCAUAUCCAUCAUACAUACCCUAUUUACAAUGGUUCAACAACCAAAUGCAUAAAUCAAACCGCAAUACAAUAUCUUCAAGAAUUAAAGAAUUAAGCAAGAAAUUAACAAUGAUAAACCACAGUAGAAUUAGAGGCGGUAAAGAGUGAGGCAAAAAUCAUUUGGAUUGUUGGAGAAGGUGAAGAAGUGGAAUGCCGAUAUUGUUUUCUCGUCCAUGCUGAAGGCACAUACAACUUUAGUUCAAUCCCUUGUGAUGACUGCCCGCCCAUUCACCGGCUUCAAGAAGAUUUCUAGACCAUCAUCAUGGUAGUUUGGGUGAUAUACUUUAAUUUUCCUUGCCUUCGCACCGAUCAUGUAGUUUGUGAGGUAAUCUUGAGUAAACUGCUUUGGAAACCACUAAAAAUUGGAAAACAUUUAGAUAUUUGUGUUUAAUAGCUUAUUGUGGGCAGGAAAAAUAAGGCAACAGAUUUCUUAUCAUCCUAAAAUUCACGGUCAUCAUGGAUAAAGCGUUCACUCAUCACCCAUCUCUUUCUCCUAACAAUCUUUCUUUGUUUCCUCACUUGAUUAUGAUCCAUGAAUGCUGCAUUGCCCCAUACGCAAAAUGGGUCGAAUCGUGGAACUGUACCUCUAACAUAUGUGCCUACAAGCAACAACUAAAUGUUAGAAGCUAAACUGCAAUUGCGCAAUGAUGUAAUAUAAGACAUGGGAUGCAACUAACCUCGAUGGUAAAUAACAUCAUCGUCCAUUGUGAACCUGCAUAAGUAGAUGGAAAGUCAUGUUAACUAUAAUAGACUUAACAUCCACCAAAUAUAGACAUGGUAAACAACAUCAUCUCCUAAUGAUAGCUUCAUUGCAAAGAGUUAACACGGUAGUAAAGUCACUAAGUAAAAAAUGGAUAGACAUGUUUAAUACAACAUGCUUAACACCAAUCAAAUAUAGCAAUUGUAACUGGUAUUGGUGAAAUUGAACUGGACAAAUCAUACUUGAACAUCAUAUUGCAUAAUUGAACAUCACAUUGUGCAUAGCUGAAAUUAACAAGGCACAUUUUAACUAUAAAUUAACAACCAAAUAUAGCCAUUGAAAUUAGUAUUGACGAAAUUGAACAUGACGGUUUCAUACUUAAACAUCACAUUAUGUAUAACUAAAUUAAACACGACAGAGUUAAACAUGACAAGGCAUAUGUUGUUGGGGAACGUAGCAAUAAUUCAAAAAAAUUCUACGUGUCACCAAGAUCAAUCUAGGAGAUACUAGCAACGAGAGAGAGGGAUUGCAUCUUCAUACCCUUGAAGAUCGCUAAGCAGAAGCGUUCAAGAGAACGGGGUUGAUGGAGUCGUACUCGUCGUGAUCCAAAUCACCGAUGAUCCUAGCGCCGAACGGACGGCACCUCCGCGUUCAACACACAUACGGAAUGGAGAGACAUCUCCUCCUUCUUGAUCCAGCAAGGGGAGAGGAGAGGUUGAUGGAUAUCCAGCAGCACGACGGCGUGGUGGUGGAAGCAGCGGGAUCUCGGCAGGGCUUCGCCAAGCACCAACGAGAGGGAGAGGUGUCACGGAGGGAGAGGGAGGCGCCAGGGACCUGGGUGCGGCUACCCUCUCUCCCCCUACUAUAUAUAGGACCCCUAGGGGGCGCCGGCCCUAGGAGAUCCAAUCUCCAAGGGGGCGGCGGCCAAGGGGGGAACUUGCCCCCCAAGUCAGGUGGGGCGCCCCCACCCCUAGGGUUUCCAACCCUAGGCGCAGGGGAAGGCCCAUGGGGGGCGCACCAGCCCACUAGGGGCUGGUUCCCCUCCCACUUCAGCCCAUGGGGCCCUCCGGGAUAGGUGGCCCCACCCGGUGGACCCCCGGGACCCUUCCGGUGGUCCCGGUACAAUACCGAUUACCCCCGAAACUUUCCCGAUGGCCGAAACUGGACUUCCUAUAUAUAAAUCUUCACCUACGGACCAUUCCAGAACUCCUCGUGACGUCCGGGGUCUUAUCCGGGACUCCGAACAACUUUCGGGUUACCGCAUAAUAAUAUCUCUACAACCCUAGCGUCACCGAACCUUAAGUGUGUAGACCCUACGGGUUCGGGAGACACGCAGACAUGACCGAGACGACUCUCCGGUCAAUAACCAACAACGGGAUACCCAUGUUGGCUCACACAUGUUCCACGAUGAUCUCAUCGGAUGAACCACGAUGUCGAGGAUUUAAUCAAUCCCGUAUACAAUUUCCUUUGUCUAUCGGUAUGAUACUUGCCCGAGAUUCGAUCGUCGGUAUCCUGAUACCUCGUUCAAUCUCGUUACCGGCAAGUCUCUUUACUCCUUCCGUAGCACAUCAUCCCGUGAUCAACUCCUUGGUCAUAUUGUGCACAUUAUGAUGAUGUCCUACCGAGUGGGCCCAGAGAUACCUCUCCGUAACACGGAGUGACAAAUCCCAGUCUCAAUUCGUGCCAACCCAACAGACACUUUCGGAGAUACCCGCAGUGCACCUUUAUAGCCACCCAGUUACGUUGUGACAUUUGGUACACCCAAAGCAUUCCUACGGUAUCCGGGAGUUGCAAAAUCUCAUGGUCUAAGGAAAUGAUACUUGACAUUAGAAAAACUUUAGCAUACGAACUACACGAUCUUGUGCUAGGCUUAGGAUUAGGUCUUGUCCAUCACAUCAUUCUCCUAAUGAUGUGAUCCCGUCAUCAACGACAUCCAAUGUCCAUGGUCAGGAAACCGUAACCAUCUAUUGAUCAACGAGCUAGUCAACUAGAGGCUUACUAGGGACAUGGUGUUGUCUAUGUAUCCACACAUGUAGCUGAGUUUCCUAUCAAUACAAUUCUAGCAUGGAUAAUAAACGAUUAUUAUGAACAAGCAAAUAUAAUAAUAACUAAUUUAUUAUUGCCUCUAGGGCAUAUUUCCAACAGUCUUCCACUUGCACUAGAGUCAAUAAUCCAGUUCACAUCGCUAUGUGAUUAACACUCAAGGUCACAUCCCAAGUGACUAUGAAAGUGCAACUAUCCCUGGGUGGUUUUGGUAAUUCCUAACAACAUAUAGCUCAUUGAGCUAACAUUAUUCCAAGAUUAAUAUUUCAGGAAAAGCUCAAUGAAUGGCAUGGCAUGGAUGAGGAAAGUGGAUCCCUCAAAAUUCUAAGGACAAAAAGUUUGGCUCAAGCUUGAAGCUCAAGACUCUACAUUUUAUGUUUUAGUGAUCCAAGAUCACAUUGAGUCUAUAGGAAAAGCCAAUAUUAUCAAGGAGGGAUGAGGUGUUGCUUAAUGGCUUGCUUGCUCAAAAUGCUUAGUGAUAUGCUCCAAAAUCCUCAACUACCUUCCCACAUCCACAUAUGACCUAAACCAAAAGUCAAACUCGGCCCCACCGAUUCUUUCUAUCCGGCGCCACCGAGUUUCAAAUGUCAUAUCCACUGCCACAAACCCUAGGCAAAUCGGUCUCACCGAUAGGGAUCUCGGUCUCACCGAUAGGGAUCUCGGUCUCACCGAGAUGGGAUUGUAAUCUCUCUGUUUCCCUUCAUAACGUUUCGGUCUUACCGAGAUGAGCGAUCGGUCCCACCGAGAUUGCAAUGUAAACUCUUUGUUUCCCUUUUGUAACAUUUUGGUCUCACCGAGAUGAGCGAAUCGGUCCCACCGAGUUUACCUGACCAACUCUCUGGUUAGCUUAUUACCAAAAUCGGUCCCACCGAGUUUGUGUAAUCGGUCACACCGAGAUUACGUUAUGCCCUAACCCUAACCAUAUCGGUCCUACCGAGUUGCAUCUCAGUACCACCGAAAAUCCUAACGGUCACUAGGUUUGCUGAAUCGGUCCGACCGAGUUUAACCAUUCGGUCCCACCGAGUUUGGCAAAUUGUGUGUAAUGGUUAGAUUUUGUGUGGAGGCUAUAUAUACCCCUCCACCCACUCUUCAUUCAUGGAGAGAGCCAUCAGAACAUACCUACACUUCCAAUACACAUUUUCUGAGAGAGAACCACCUAGACUUGUGUUGAGGUCAAGAUAUUCCAUUCCAACCAUAUGAAUCUUGAUCUCUAGCCUUCCCCAAGUUGCUUUCCACUCAAAUCUUCUUUCCACCAAAUCCAAAUCCUGUGAGAGAGAGUUGAGUGUUGGGGAGACUAUCAUUUGAAGCACAGGAGCAAGGAGUUCAUCAUCAACACACCAUUUGUUACUUCUUGGAGAGUGGUGUCUCCUAGAUUGGCUAGGUGUCACUUGGGAGCCUCCGACAAGAUUGUGGAGUUGAACCAAGGAGUUUGUAAGGGCAAGGAGAUCGCCUACUUCAUGAAGAUCUACCGCUAGUGAGGCAAGUCCUUCGUGGGCGACGACCGUGAUGGAAUAGACAAGGUUGCUUCUUCGUGGACCCUUCGUGGGUGGAGCCCUCCAUGGACUCGCGCAACCGUUACCCUCCGUGGGUUGAAGUCUCCAUCAACGUGGAUGUAUGAUAGCACCACCUAUCGGAACCACGACAAAAACAUCCGUGUCUCCAAUUGCGUUUGAAUCCUCCAAACCAUUCUCUUUACAUUCUUGCAAGUUGCAUGCUUUACUUUCCGCUGCCCAUAUACUCUUUUGCAUGCUUGCUUGAAUUGUGUGGAGAUUGCUUGACUUGUGCUAAGAUAGCUAAAAUCUGCCAAGAACUAAAAUUGGGAAAAGGCUAGAUUUUUAUUUGGUCAAGUAGGCUAAUCACCCCCCUCUAGACAUACUUUCGAUCCUACAGACUAACACCCAAAGAGUUUACUAGAGUCAAUAAUCUAGUUCACAUUACCAUGUGAUUAACACUCAAUGAGUUCUGGGUUUGAUCAUGUUAUGCUUGUGAGAGAUGUUAUAGUCAACGGGUCUGAACCUUUUCAUAUCCGUGUGUGCUUUACAAAUCUCUAUGUCAUCUUGUAGAUGCAGCUACCACGCUCUUCUUGGAGCUAUUCCAAAUAACUAUUCUACUAUACGAAUCUGGUUUACUACUCAGAAUCAUCCAGAUUAGUGUCAAAGAUUGCAUCGGCGUAACCCUUUACGACGAACUCUUUUACCACCUCCAUAAUCGAGAUCCUGUGAUCCUGUAAUCGGCGUAACCUUGACCGUUGUCCUGUGAUCCAUUCCUAGAUCACACUUGUACCCCUUGACUAACUCAAGGCUUAGCACGCUUCAGGUGCGGUACACAACAUUGCAUACUUUAGAGCCUACGUCUAAAGCAUAGGGGACGACCUUCGUCCUUUCUCUCUAUUCUGCCGUGGUCAGGUCUUGAGUUUUACUCAAUACUCAUACCUUAUAACACAGCCAAGAACUCCUUCUUUGUCGAUCUAUUUUGAACUCCUUCAAAAUUUUGUCAUGGUAUGUGUUCGUUUGAAAGUACUAUUAAACGAUUUUGAUCUAUCCUUAUAGAUCUUGAUGCUCAAUGUUCAAGUAGCUUAAUCCAGGUUUUCCAUUAAAAACCACUUUUCAAAUAACCCUGUAUGCUUUCCAGAAAUUCUACAUCAUUUUUGAUCAACAAUAUGUUAACAACAUAUACUCAUCAAAAAUUCUAUAGUGCUCCCACUCACUUCUUUGGAAAUACAAGUUUCUCAUAAACUUUGUAUAAACCCAAAAUCUUUGAUCAUCUCAUCAAAGCGUACAUUCCAAUUUCGAGAUGCUUACUCCAGUCCUUAGAAGGAUUGCUGGACUUUGCAUACUUGUUAGCAUCUUUCAGGAUUGACAAAACCUUCUGGUUGUAUCACACACAACCUUUCCUCAAGAAAAACAUCGAGGAAACAAUGUUUUGACAUCCUAUCUGCAAGAUUUCAUAAAAAAUGCAAUAACUGCUAACAUAAUUCCAACAGACUCUUAGCAUCGCUAUGAGUGAGAAAGUCUCAUCGUAGUCAACUCCUUGAACUUGUCAGGAAACAUCUUAACGACAAGUCGAGCUUUCUUAAUGGUGACACUUACCAUCAUUGUCCGUCUUCCUUUUAAAAUCCAUCUGCACCCAACAGCCUUACGACCAUCAAGUAGUUCUUUUCAAAGUCUAUACUUUGUUUUAUACAUGGAUCCUCUCUCGGAUUUUAUGGCCUCGAGCCAUUCGUCGAAAUCCGGGCCCACCAUCGCUUCUCCAUAGCUCGUAGGUUCAUUGUUGUCUAGCAACAUGACUUCCAAGACAGGAUUACGUACCACUCUGAUGUAGUACACAUCCUUGUCGACCUAUGAGGUUUGGUAGUGACUUGAUCCGAAGUUUCAUGAUCACUAUCAUAAGCUUCCACUUCAAUUGGUGUAGGUGCCACAAGAACAACUUUCUAUGCCCUGCUACACACUAGUUGAAGUGACGGUUCAAUAACCUCAUCAAGUCUCCACCAUCCUCCCACUCAAUUCUUUCGAGAGAAACUUUUCCCCGAGAAAGGACCCGUUUCUAGAAACAAUCAAUUUUGCUUCCGGAUCUGAAAUAGGAGGUAUACCCAACUGUUUUGGGUAUUCUAUGAAGAUGCAUUUAUCCGCUUUGGAUUCGAGCUUAUCAGCCUGAAACCUUUUCACAUAAGCAUCGCAGCCCCAAACUUUCAAGAAACGACAGCUUAGGUUUCUCUAAACCAUAGUUCGCACGGUGUCGUCUCAACGGAAUUGUGUGGUGCCCUAUUUAAAGUGAGUGCGGUUGUCCCUAAUGCCUAACCCAUAAACGAUAGUGGAAAUUUGAUAAGAGACAUCAUGGUAUGCACCAUAUCCAAUAGGGUGCAGUUGUGAUGUUCGGACACACCAUCACACUAUGGUGGUCCAGGCGGUAUUAGUUGUGAAACAAUUUCCACAAUGUCUUAAUUGUGUGCCAAACUCGUAACUCAGAUUUUCAUCUCUAUGAUCAUAUCAUAGACAUUUUAUCAUCUUGUCACGACGAUAUUCAACUUCACUCUGAAAUUACUUAAACCUUUCAAUAAUCCAGACUUGUGUUUCAUCAAGUAAAUAUACUCAGUAUCUACUCAAAUCAUCUGUGAAGUAAGAACAUAACGAUAUCCACUGUGUGCCUCCGCACUCAUUGGACUGCACACAUCAAAAUGUAUUACUUCCAACAAGUUGCUUUCUUGUUCCAUCUUACUGAAAAUGAGGCUUUUCAGUCAUCUUGCCCAUGUGGUAUGAUUUGCAUGUCUUAAGUGAUUCAAAAUCAAGUGAGUCCAAAUGAUCCAUCUGUAUGGAGUUUCUUCAUGCAUAUCUACCAAUAGACAUGGUUCGCAUGUCUCAAUCCUUUCAAAAACGAGUGAGUCCAAAGAUCCAUCAACAUGGAGCUUCUUCAUGCGUUUUAUACCAACAUGACUCAAAUGGCAGUGCCACAAGUAUGUGGUACUAUCAUUACUAUCUUAUAUCUUUUGGCAUGAACAUGUGUAUCACUACGAUCGAGAUUCAAUAAACCAUUCAUUUUAGGUGCAAGACCAUUGAAGGUAUUAUUCAAAUAAACAGAGUAACCAUUAUUCUCUUUAAAUGAAUAACUGUAUUGCGAUAAACAUAAUCCAAUCAUGUCUAUGCUCAACGCAAACACCAAACAACAAUUAUUUAGGUUUAACACCAAUCUCGAUGGUAGAGGGAGCAUGCGAUGCUUGAUCACAUCAACCUUGGAAACACUUCCAACACAUAUCGUCAUCUCACCUUCAGCUAGUCUCCGUUUAUUCCGUAGCCUUUUAUUUCGAGUUACUAACACUUAGCAACUGAACCGGUAUUUUAAUACCCUGGUGCUGCUAGGAGUACUAGUAAAGUACACAUUAAUAUAACGUAUUUCCAAAAUACUUCUGUCGACCUUGCCAGCCUUCUCAUCUACCAAGUAUCUAGGGUAGUUCUGCUUCAGUGACUGUUCCCUCAUUACAGAAGCACUUAGUCUCGGGUUUGGUUCAACCUUGGGUUUCUUCACUAGAGCAGCAACUGAUUUGCCGUCUCAUGAAGUAUCCAUUCUUUCCCUUACCCUUCUUGAAACUAGUGGUUUAACCAUCAACAAUUGAUGCUCCUACUUGAUUUCUACUUUCGCGGUGUCAAACAUCGCGAGUUGCUCAAGGAUCAUCAUGUCUAUCCCUGAUAUGUUAUAGUUCAUCAUGAAGCUCCAAUAGCUUGGUGGCAGUGACUAUGGAGAAUCAUCACUAUUUCAUCUGGAAGAUUAACUCCCACUGGAUUCAAGCGAUUGUAGUACUCAGACAAUCUAAGCACAUGCUUAACGAUUGAGCUUUUCUCCCUUAGUUUGCAGGCUUAAGAAACUUGUCAGAGGUCUCAUACCUCUUGACGUGGGCACUAGUCUGAAUCCCAAUUUCAGUCUUUGGAACAUCUCAUAUGUUCCGCGACGUUUCAAAAACGUCUUUGGUGCCACAAUCCUAAACCGUUAGUAUUACGCACUGAACUAUCACGUAGUCAUCAAAACGUGUAUGUCAGAUGUUUCCCAACAUCUACAGACAACGCUCGAGGUUCAACGCACUGAGCGGUGCAUUAAGGACAUAGCCCUUCUGUGCAGCAACGAGGACAAUCCUCAGUUCACGGACCCAGUCUGCAUAAUUGCUACUGUCAACUCUCAACUAAAUUUUCUGUAGGAACAUAUCUAAAACAGUAGAACCAAAGCGUGAGCUAUGACAUAAUUUGCAAAGACCUUUUGACUAUGUUCAUGAUAAUUAAGUUCAUCCAAUCAAAUUAUUCAAUGAACUCCCACUUAGAUAGACAUCCCUCUAGUCAUCUAAGUGAUACAUGAUCCGAGUCAACUAGGCCAUGUCCGAUCAUCACGUGAGACGGACUAGUCAUCAUCGAUGAACAUCUUCAUGUUGAUCGUAUCCACUAUACGACUCAUGUUCGACCUUUCGGUCUUCCGUGUUCCGAGGCCAUGUAUGUACAUGCUAGGCUCGUCAAGUCAACCUAAGUGUUUCGCAUGUGUAAAUCUGGCUUACACCUGUUGUAUGCGAACAUUAGAAUCUAUCACACCUGAUCAUCACGUGGUGCUUCGAAACAAUGAACCUUCGCAACGGUGCACAGUUAGGGGGAACACUUUUCUUGAAAUUUCAGCGAGGGAUCAUCUUAUUUAUGCUACCGCCGUUCUAAGCAAAUAAGAUGUAAACAUGACAAACAUCACAUGCAAAUCAUAAAGUGACACGAUAUGGCCAAUAUCAUCUUGCGCCUUUUGAUCUCCAUCUUCGAGGCGCGACAUGAUCACCUUCGUCACCGGCAUGACACCAUGAUCUCCAUCAUUGUGUCUUCAUGAAGUUGCCUCACCAACUAUUACUUCUGCUACCAUGGCUAACGAUUAGCAAUAAAGUAAAGUAAUUACAUGGCGUUUUCAUUGACACGCAGGUCAUAAAUAAAUUAAGACAACUCCUAUGGCUCCUGCCGGUUGUCAUACUCAUCGACAUGCAAGUCAUGAUUCCUAUUACAAGAACAUGAUCAAUCUCAUACAUCACAUAUAUCAUUCAUCACAUCCUUUUGGCCAUAUCACAUCACAUAGCAUACCCUGCAAAAACAAGUUAGACGUCCUCUAAUUGUUGUUGCAUGUUUUACGUGGCUGCUAUGGGUUUUUAGCAAGAACGUUUCUUACCUACACAAAACCACAACGGUGAUAUGCCAAUUGCUAUUUACCCUUCAUAAGGACCCUUUUCAUCGAAUCCGAUCCGACUAAAGUGGGAGAGACAGACACCUGCCAGCCACCUUAUGCAUCAAGUGCAUGUCAGUCGGUGGAACUAGUCUCACGUAAGCGUAUGUGUAACGUCGGUCUGGGCCGCUUCAUCCCACAAUGCCGCCGGAUCAAGAUAAGACUAGUAACGGUAAGAAAAUUGAACAAAUCAUCGCCCACAACUGCUUUGUGUUCUACUCGUGCAUAGAAUCUAUGCAUAGACCUAGCUCUGAUACCACUGUUGGGGAACGUAGCAAUAAUUCAAAAAAAUUCUACGUGUCACAAAGAUCAAUCUAGGAGAUACUAGCAAUGAGAGAGAGGGAGUGCAUCUUCAUACCCUUGAAGAUCGCUAAGCAGAAGCGUUCAAGAGAACGGGGUUGAUGGAGUCGUACUCGUCGUGAUCCAAAUCACCGAUGAUCCUAGCGCGAAACGGAUGGCACCUUCGCGUUCAACACACAUACGGAAUGGAGAGACGUAUCCUCCUUCUUGAUCCAGCAAGGGAGAGGAGAGGUUGAUGGAGAUCCAGCAGCACGACGGCGUGGUGGUGGAAGCAGCGGGAUCUCGGCAGGGCUUCGCCAAGCACCAACGAGAGGGAGAGGUGUCACGGAGGGAGAGGGAGGCGCCGGAGACUUGGGUGCGGCUGCCCUCCCCCCACUAUAUAUAGGACCCCUAGGGGACCGCCGGCCCUAGGAGAUCCAAUCUCCAAGGGGGGCGGCCAAGGGGGGAACUUGCCCCCCAAGUCAGGUGGGGCGCCCCCCACCCCUAGGGUUUCCAACCCUAGGCACAGGGGGAGGCCCAUGGGGGGCGCACCAGCCCACCAGGGGCUGGUUCCCCUCCCACUUUAGCCCAUGGGGCCCUCUGAGAUAGGUGGCCCCACCCGGUGGACCCCCGGGACCCUUCCGGUGGUCCCGGUACAAUAUCGAUUACCCCCAAAACUUUCCCGAUGGCCGAAACUGGACUUCCUAUAUAUAAAUCUUCACCCCCGGACCAUUCCGGGACUCCUAGUGACGUUUGGGAUCUCAUCCGGGACUCCGAACAACUUUCGGGUUACCGCAUAAUAAUAUCUCUACAACCCUAGUGUCACCGAACCUUAAGUGUGUAGACCCUACGGGUUCGGGAGACACGCAGACAUGACCGAGACGACUCUCCGGUCAAUACACAACAGCGGGAUCUGGAUACCCAUGUUGGCUCCCACAUGUUCCACGAUGAUCUCAUCGGAUGAACCACGAUGUCGAGGAUUUAAUCAAUCCCGUAUACAAUUUCCUUUGUCUAUCGGUACGAUACUUGCCCGAGAUUCGGUCGUCGGUAUCCCGAUACCUCGUUCAAUCUUGUUACCGGCAAGUCUCUUUACUCGUUCCGUAACACAUCAUCCCUUGAUCAACUCCUUGGUCACAUUGUGCACAUUAUGAUGAUGUCCUACCGAGUGGGCCCAGAGAUACCUCUCCGUAACACAGAGUGACAAAUCCCAGUCUCGAUUCGUGCCAACCCAACAGAAACUUUUGGAGAUACCCGCAGUGCACCUUUAUAGCCACCUAGUUACGUUGUGACGUUUGGUACACCCAAAGCAUUCCUACGGUAUCCGGGAGUUGCACAAUCUUAUGGUCUAAGGAAAUGAUACUUGACAUUAGAAAAGCUUUAGCAUACGAACUACAUGAUCUUGUGCUAGGCUUAGGAUUGGGUCUUGUCCAUCACAUCAUUCUCCUAAUUAUGUGAUCCCGUCAUCAACGACAUCCAAUGUCCAUGGUCAGGAAACUGUAACCAUCUAUUGAUCAACGAGCUAGUCAACUAGAGGCUUACUAGGGACAUGGUGUUGUCUAUGUAUCCACACAUGUAUCUGAGUUUCCUAUCAAUACAAUUCUAGUAUGGAUAAUAAAUGAUUAUUAUGAACAAGGAAAUAUAAUAAUAACUAAUUUAUUAUUGCCUCUAUGGCAUAUUUCCAACAUAUGCUACUAUAAUAGAAUGGCCUGGUUUCUAGAAUAGUAGGGAAAUAGCUAAAGCAAGCUACUCCUAGCCAUCUGAGAUGAUCAUUGGCUCUUCCCCCCUUGGAAGUGACACAUGCAAAGACAUCAUGGGUGCUCUCCCUGUUGUCAUAGGUGGGCUCCUUCCCCUUAGAAGAGCACUCAUAGUCGAUGCUCUCCUCAUCGUUGAGGAUGAGAUCUUACUUGCUUGAUGAGGAUACAACGUGUGGCAAAUGUUGGAGCACGUGGAGGAGGAGAUCAGUGACAGGGCUCUUAACAAGAUCAACGAUGGUAAAGCCUAAGGUGUUGGUAGUUGGGCACUUCAUCUGGGCCAAAGCUCGCCCCGAGCCAUCACUAUAGAUGAGCUUGUUGAUGUUGUAGCCGACAAGCAUAAGAUGAAAAAACGGUUGGCUGAUAUGUAGCACCCGCGGAGACCUUGGCAGCGAGGUGUUCCUCAGAGUAUAGAAGGUUGAGACACAUGGCGGCCACAUCCUCCUCGUCCACCAUUGAGGGUGCGAUAAACCUUUUUGGCCAUCUGCUCCUCGAGCUCCCCGUGAUAUGUCGUUGCGCUUAGGCGGCGAUGCUUUGGAGUAGGGGUUAGGGAUUUGGAGGAAAGUGGGUGUUUCUCAAGUGCCAUCUAAGCAAAAUCAUGAUGGGUGGGGGUGGAGAUCGGUGGGUUGCCUGACUAGAUUAACAAGGCACGGGCAGAUUACGACAUAGGUCGAAGGUGGAGGAGACGAUGGGGAUUUGAGCAGGGGAUGAGGACAUUGAAAUGUGGUGUGGGUGUGGGAGGAAGAGGGUGAUGAAGCUAUGUACCUAGGGUAGGGUCAUGGACCUGUCCUAACUGCCCUACCCAAGGACAUCUCUAGAAGAAAUCACCUUUCAAUCGACUUGGAGGUGUUCCACUCGACAGACUCGAAGACACUCGACCAAGAAGCAAUCACUCGACCAAGAUCCAACCACUCGACGGCCAAGAGACCUAAAGUCACUCCGCACGCUAACGGUCGGUCAUUAAGUAGCUUUUAUGGUCAUCAUAGCACUUUAUUACUAGCGUUACCAGUAACGCCCUGCCUUAAUAUACAUUGAACCCUUUGUAACGUGGGCUGGCCGGGGUCCUAGCGCACUCUAUAUAAGCCACCCCCCUCCUCUGAGACAAGGGUUCGCACCUCUGUAAUUCAUACUCACAUAAUAUAGUCGACCGCCUCCGGGCUCCGAGACGUAGGGCUAUUACUUCCUCCGAGAAGGGCCUGAACUCGUAAACCUUGCGUGCUUACAACUUCUCCAUAGCUAAGAUCUUGCCUCUCCAUACUUACCCCCUACACUACUGUCAGACUUAGAACCACGACAGUUGGCGUCCACCGUGGGGCAGGUGUUUUAGCGUUUGUUGGAGGAGUUGCGACCUUUUUCGACCCGAAUCAUCAUGGUUUUUGGCAGAGUUUCGGUGGAGGGUUGCGAGAUCCGUCUCGGCGCGCUCACGUUCAUCAUCGACGACUCUGCUUGGCUCCAGGAGGCUCCGCUCGACGUGGAUGCGCUCCCGGCUCGCGGGGCAACACACUUUAGUGCGUGCGUCCGCGGCGUUCUCCUGCGGCAACCGUCGACCCCCUACCGGUCGGCUCCUGUGUUGUCCUCCCUCCCCGUUUCCCGCCGGCGCAAGCGCUCCAGUCGGUCGAGACUUCAGCGGUGGGUGAGACAUGUGGUGGCACGUCAGUCGGCCACCCCUCAAGUCGCGGUGAUCGAGCCCGACGAAUCCCUCUACAGCCUGUUCGACCUGUCGACUGGCUCCGCACAGACCGCAUCUGAGUGCGACAGUAGUGAUCCGGCGGCGGAGGUUCUGAUGGCCGAUGGACCGCCCAGUCCUCCUGGUUUUCCCCGCACCGACGGAGGCGCGGGUGGAGGCGACCCGUCGCGUCUCCAUGAGGAGUACCUUCCGGAGCCUCUCAUGUCGCUGCAGAGAGAAGAACUUCGCCGCCGGAACGUGGAUGCACUGCACACUCCUAUCGUUGGAGAAACCCCCGAGGCUCGCGCCUUGGAGGACGCGCGCCUGGAAAACUUGGCCGAGCGCACUCGACUGGAGAACCUCGAGUGAGCACUCGACGAGCGUGCGCGACAAUGGGUUCCCGAAUCCAGUCAACGUUAGCUCUUCCCGCCCCCCAGGUAUAUCGAACUCCGAUUCAGAAUUUAGCAGCUACGGCCCGUAUAGCAGAGUCGAUUCAGCCUUCCUAGUUAGAGGCUGGCAGAGGCUUGCUGCAGAUCAGAGCGUUACUCCGGGCAGCAGGAGAUCAGAAUUCCGCUGUUUCUCAGUCGCGGAACAGGAUUCAUAGCAGAUCCGUUGCCGCGGACACAGUCCAGUCGGCUCACAGCCCGAGAUCGCCCCCGAGGCAUGAGGGAUGUGGAGACCGGCGUGACCAGUAUGGGAACCAUGAGCAGUAUGAUCACCGAGUCGAUCGUGACGGUCGACGUCGAGUGCCCACGCCUCCCCCGAGGAGCGGGUCGUAUGUGCCUCGCCAGCAGGAUGACAGGCGCCCUCAUAGUGGUGGGCGAAGGAUUCCAGUCGACCCCAGAGGGCCAGGCUUUGACGCGAGAUCCAUUCUCAUCCAAGGUUUGGUCGACAGGAACAGGGCUCACCGAGAAGGUCACGACAGAGAUGCGCCUACCAGCAGCAGAGUACAUGUUUCGAGGCCAGAGUGCUUUAGUAGAGCCAUCAGGGCCGCUGUGAUUCCUCCCAACUUCAGGUUGGCGACUGGAGUCAGUAAGUUCACUGGUGAGUCCAAGCCCGAUACUUGGCUUGAGGACUACCGAGUGGCUGUCCAGAUUGGCAGCGUUAAUGAUGAAGUGGCCAUGAAGCACCUGCCUCUCAUGUUGGAGGGUUCGGCCAGAGCGUGGCUGAACCAGUUAGCACCUAGCAGCAUUUACACUUGGGAAGAUCUCUCUCAAGUGUUCGUCACCACAUUUGAAGGCACAUGCAAGCGACCGGCAGGGCUGACAGAACUGCGGUCUUGCGUGCAGAAGCCGAAUGAAACUUUGAGGGAUUACAUCCAGAGGUGGAUCACAUUACAUCACUCGGUGGAGAAUGUGCCUGACCACCAAGCAGUUUGUGCCUUCCAGGAAGGCGUCAAGUACAGAGAACUGAAUUUGAAAUUCGGUUGAACCAGAGAUAUGUCCCUGAAUCAGAUGAUGGAGAUUGCCACCAAGUACGCUAAUGGUAAAGAUGAGGAUCGACUCAGGAGUGGCAAGCUCAAGUCAGUCGCCCAAGAAACCGAAGGAAAUUCCAAUCGGAAACAGAAGCAGAAAGCCGAGCCAGCUGCUCCCGGGGAAGCCUUGGCUUUGACCCAAGGAAAGUUUAAAGGGAAACCUAAAGGAUCUUGGAACCCCAAAAAGGUCAAAGACCAGGACAGAAAUGAUGUGUUGGACUUACCAUCUCUCGUCCACACAAAGAAAGAUGAAGAGGGUAAUUUCAUUUACCCGAAACAUACCACUCGACAGUGUCGACUCUUGAUCCAGCAGUUCCAGGGCAAGCAGCCCAAAGGUAAGGAAAAGGAGUCAGACAAGGUCGAGGACAAAGAAGACAGUGACGACGGAUACCCUCAGGUCAAUUCCACUCUGAUGAUUUUUGCCGAUGUUGAAAGCAAAAGUCAACUGAAAGUUAUUAACCGAGAGGUGAAUAUGGUCGCUCCGGCGACGCCUAGUUACCUGAAAUGGUCUCAGACUGCCAUAACAUUCGACCAGUCCGACCACCCAACGCACAUCGCCACCCCUGGGAGGCAAGCUUUGGUAGUCGACCCAGUUGUUGAAGGCACUCGACUGACCAAAGUCCUGAUGGAUGGCGGCAGUGGUUUGAACAUAUUGUAUGCUGAGACAUUGAAAGGGAUGAGCAUUCCGAUGUCCAGACUCAGUGCCAGCAACAUGAGUUUCCAUGGAGUCAUUCCUGGGAAGAAGGCUGAAUCACUCGGCCAGAUUGCUCUUGAUGUGGUUUUCCGUGAUUCCAAGAAUUACCGCAAAGAGAAGUUGACAUUUGAAGUUGUAGACUUCAAGAGUGCCUACCACGCUAUUUUGGGCAGGCCAGCUUAUGCACGCUUCAUGGCCCGACCGUGUUAUGUGUAUCUCAAAUUGAAGAUGCCUGGCCCCAAAGGUGUGAUCACUAUUACGGGCAAUCGGAAGAAAGCGGAAGAAUGUUUUCAGAAAGGUUCGAAGAUCGCCGAUGCUCAUAUGGCAGUGGUGGAGUUGCAGGAAUACCAGAAGACUGCAGACCCGAGUGAUUUGUUGCGAGCCAAGAAGCCUGCUAUAGAGUCAGCUUUUCAGUCGACUGGCGAUACGAAGACAGCUCACAUCCACCCGACCGACCCCAGCGCUGCUCCAACUCAUAUCUCGACAACACUCGACUCCAAAUAGGAAGAAGCGCUCAUCCAGUUCCUCCGUGAGAACUGGGACAUUUUCGCAUGGAAGCCCUCUGACAUGCCGGGUGUUCCCAGGGAGCUGGCUGAGCACCGCCUAAGAGUCGACUCAAAAAUAAAACCUGUCAAGGAACAUCUCCGACGGUCCGCCGUCUAGAAGAGAAAGGCCAUUGGCAAAGAGGUAGCUCGGCUCUUAGCAUCGGAGCUCAUCCGAGAAAUCUACCACUCCGAGUGGCUCACCAAUGUUGUCAUGGUCCCCAAGAAGGACAAGUCACUUUGCAUGUGCAUUGACUUUAAACAUAUCAAUCGGGCCUGCCCAAAAUAUCAUUUUCCUCUCCCCCGCAUCGACCAGAUAGUCGACUCGACUGCGGGAUGUGAUCGACUGUCUUUUUUAGAUGCCUAUUCUGGGUACCAUCAGAUCCGUCUGUAUGGGCCUGACGAGAUCAAAACAACUUUCAUCACUCCAUGCGGGUGCUUCUGUUAUGUUACCAUGCCAUUCGGCCUCAAGAAUGCCGGAGCCACAUUCAUGAGGAUGAUUCAGAAGUGUUUGCUCACCCAAAUCAGUCGGAAUGUGGAGGCGUACAUGGAUGAUAUUGUGGUCAAGUCACGGAAGGGUUCUGACCUGCUGACUAACCUUGCUGAAACCUUUGCCAACCUCAGAAGGUUUGAUAUCAAGCUUAAUCCAUCAAAAUGCACAUUCGGGGUUCCUGGCGGAAAGUUACUCGGUUUUCUCAUUUCCGAACAGGGAAUCGACGCCAAUCCAGAAAAAGUCGGUACUAUACUCCGGAUGAAAAGUCCUGUGCGAGUGCAUGAUGUUCAGAAGCUUACUGGUUGCUUGGCCGCCCUAAGUCGAUUCAUAUCUCGUCUCGGUGAAAAGGCAUUGCCUCUUUAUCGAUUGAUGAAGAAGUCUGACAAGUUCGAGUGGACUCCUGAAGCUGAUGCAGCGUUCGCAGAGCUCAAAGCUCUGCUCUCCACCUAGUCGGUGCUUGCUGCCCCAAUCAGCAAGGAGCCUUUGCUGCUUUACAUUGCAGCCACAGGACAAGUCGUCAGUACGGUACUUACGGUCGAGCGGGAAGAAGAAGGGAAAACCUUCAAAGUUCAGCGCCCAGUGUAUUAUAUUUCUGAAGUCUUGACCCCAUCGAAGCAAAGAUAUCCUCAUUAUCAGAAGCUCGUAUAUGGGAUUUAUAUGACCACAAAGAAAGUUGCCCACUACUUCUCUAAUCAUUCCAUUACAGUCGUCAGCGGCGCUCCGUUGUCAGAGAUCUUGCAUAACAGGGAUGCAACUGGUCGAGUGACAAAAUGGGCGAUUGAACUCCUUCAUCUAGAUAUCAAGUUUGAGGCAAAGAAAGCUAUCAAGUCCCAGGCAAUCGUGGAUUUCAUCGCCGAGUGGAUUGAACAACAACUGCCGACUCAGGUUCACUCGGAGCAUUGGACCAUGUUCUUUGACGGUUCCAAGAUGCUAAAUGGUUCCGGCGCCGGAGUAGUGUUGGUAUCCCCCAGAGGAGAUAAACUCAGAUAUGUUCUUCAAAUCCCCUUUGAUUCCUCUAACAACGAGGCAGAAUACGAAGCACUUUUAUAUGGGUUGCACAUGGCCAUUUCACUCGGCGUCCAUCGCCUCAUGGUCUAUGGCGACUCAGAUUUGGUGGUUAAUCAAGUGAUGAAGGAAUGGGACGUCAGAAGUCCAGCCAUGACUGGUUAUUGCAAUGCAGUGAGAAAGCUGGAGAAGAAAUUCGAGGGGUUAGAGCUUCAUCACAUACCCCGACUGAAAAAUCAAGCAGCUGAUGAUCUGGCAAAAAUAGGUUCCAAAAGAGAAGCCAUUCCCAGCAAUGUGUUUUUGGAACACAUCCACACACCAUCGGUCCAGGAGGAUCCCUUCACUAAAGAUGCCCCGCAGCCAAAAAGCGCCACGGAUCCGACUGAAGUUGAAGUUCCAGCUGUGGUCGACCUGAUCAUGGAAGUCUUGGUUAUCACUCCCAUCUAGACAGAACCGUACAUCGCGUACAUCCUAAGGAAAGAACUCCCAGAAGACGAAGAAGAGGCUCGGUAGAUCGUCCGUUGAUCCAAGGCCUUUACAGUCAUAAAGGGUCAGUUAUAUAGAGAAAGCACGACUGGGGUCGGCCAGAAGUGUAUUACACCAGAAGAAGGUCAGAUGAUCCUUAAUGAUAUCCACUCAGGGACCUGUGGUCAUCAUGCGUCCUCUCGGACCAUUGUGGCUAAAGCAUACCGAGCGGGGUUCUACUGGCCAAGAGCCAAUGAGAUGGCAAAAGAGAUAGUCGACAAAUGUGAAGUAUGUCAGUAUUACUCCAAUAUGCCGCACAAGCCCGCGUCAGCCCUAAAAACCAUUCCACUCGUCUGGCCCUUCACUGUUUGGGGGCUGGACAUGGUUGGACCACUGAGAACAGGCAGGAGCGGUUUCACUCAUGUGCUGGUAGCAGUCGACAAGUUCACCAAAUGGAUUGAAGCCAAGCCUAUCAAGAAUAUCGAUGCUUGCACCGCUAUCAGUUUCAUUAGAGAGUUGAUAUUCAGAUAUGGAGUUCUGCACAGCAUCUUCACAGACAAUGGGUCAAACUUCGAUUCCGACAAAUUCAGGGCCUUUUGCGCCUCUCAGGGCACUCGGGUCGACUAUGCUUCGGUCGCUCACCCCCAGUCGAAUGGGCAAGCAGAAAGAGCAAACAUCCUAAUUCUCAAAGGACUAAAACCUCGAUUGAUGUGCGAUCUCAAGCACGCAGCAGGUGCAUGGGUCGACGAGCUUCCAUCAGUCCUUUGGGGAUUGAGGACAACCCCGAAUCGAUCGAUCGGAAGAACCCCAUUCUUCCUGGUCUACGGAGCCGAGGCAGUCUUACCGAGUGACCUGCUUCACAACGCUCCCCGAGUCGAGCUCUACUCUGAAGAUGAAGCAGAACAAGCCCGGCAGGACGCAGUCGACCUCCUAGAAGAAGAAAGAGAAAUGGCCUUGAUUCGAUCGACCAUCUAUCAGCAAGACUUGCGUCGAUUCCAUGCCAGAAACGUGAAGAGCCGAGCCUUCCAAGAAGGAGACUUAGUCCUCCGAGUGGAUCAGCAGAAACCACACAAGCUCGCUCCUACUUGGGAAGGCCCCUUCAUAGUCACCAGAGUCCUCCACAAUGGAGCAUACCACCUCUACAAUGUCGAUCGCCAGAUUGAUGAGCCACGAGCCUGGAAUGCGGAGCUACUCCGCCCCUUCUAUACUUGAAUCCUCACUCGGAUGAGAUGUAAUAAGAAAAACUCCUGUAGAUUAUUUAUCAAAUACAAGAGCGUUAUAAUUUUCCCAGUGAGUAUUAUUGUUUUUGUUUGCGUAAGAAAUCCCCCAGUGGGUGGCUUAGCUGCGGAUCCGCUUCGCCUAAGUUUGUAAAAAUAGUUUCCUACCGAGUGGCGAGCCAGCCUCCCACUCGGGGGCUUAGCUGCGAAUCCGUUUUGCCUAAGUAUUUAAAAAAUCCUACCGAGUGGAGAGAAACCUCCCACUCGGGGGCUUAGCUGCAGUCUAGUACUCGCCUAAGUUCUCUCACUUGGAGACUUAGCUGCAGUCCGGCACUCGCCUAAGUUUGAAAAAAUCCUACCGAGUGGAGAGCAAUCCUCCCACUCGGGGGCUUAGCUGCAGUCCAGUACUCGCCUAAGUUCUCUCACUAGAGACUUAACUGCAGUCCGGCACCCGCCUAAGUUUGAAAAAAUCCUACCGAGUGGAGAGAAAUCCUCCCACUCGGGGGCUUAGCUGCAGUCCAGUACUCGCCUAAGUUCUCUCACUUAGAGACUUAGCUGCAGUCCGGCACUCGCCUAAGUUUGAAAAANNNNNNNNNNNNNNNNNNNNNNNNNNNNNNNNNNNNNNNNNNNNNNNNNNNNNNNNNNNNNNNNNNNNNNNNNNNNNNNNNNNNNNNNNNNNNNNNNNNNNNNNNNNNNNNNNNNNNNNNNNNNNNNNNNNNNNNNNNNNNNNNNNNNNNNNNNNNNNNNNNNNNNNNNNNNNNNNNNNNNNNNNNNNNNNNNNNNNNNNNNNNNNNNNNNNNNNNNNNNNNNNNNNNNNNNNNNNNNNNNNNNNNNNNNNNNNNNNNNNNNNNNNNNNNNNNNNNNNNNNNNNNNNNNNNNNNNNNNNNNNNNNNNNNNNNNNNNNNNNNNNNNNNNNNNNNNNNNNNNNNNNNNNNNNNNNNNNNNNNNNNNNNNNNNNNNNNNNNNNNNNNNNNNNNNNNNNNNNNNNNNNNNNNNNNNNNNNNNNNNNNNNNNNNNNNNNNNNNNNNNNUAGAGACUUAGCUGCAGUCCGACACUCGCCUAAGUUUGAAAAAAAUCCUAUCGAGUGGAGAGAAAUCCUCCUGCUCGGGGGGCUUAGCUGCAGUCCAGUACUCACCUAAGUUCUCUCACUUAGAGACUUAGCUGCAGUCCGGCACUCGCCUAAGUUUGAAAAAAUCCUACCGAGUGGAGAGCAAUCCUCCCACUCGGGGGCUUAGCUGCAGUCCAGUACUCGCCUAAGUUCUCUCACUUAGAGACUUAGCUGCAGUCCGGCACUCGCCUAAGUACGAAACACAUCUCAAUCCUCAAGGACGACGAGGGGCAGGUCGACUACCACCUUCCCCUGGAUAGCUUCGCCACAAAUACAAUGCGCGAUUCAUCCCGCUCUACAGUAACGAAGUGCGGGUCGACUGCCACCUUCUCCUGGAGAGCUUCGCCACAAAUACAAUGUGCGCUCCGUCUCGCUCUACAAUAACAAGGUGUGGGUCGACCGCCGCCUUCCCCUGGAGAGCUUCGCCACAAAUAUGAUGCGUACUCCACCGCCGACCUGCAAGGGCGACAAGACAUGGGUCGACUGCUUCCCUCUCCUUCGGAGCUGCGCUGCGAAUACAAAAGUUGUCUUGAAUGGAGAAUGGGUUCACUCAGCAGGAGAUUCAUAAAGAUAUUCAACGGUAAACCAAGUUCAGAUAAAUUCUAAAUGUCCCGGAUCACAGAUCGAAGUACUCGGGCAUGCAGCCCGAAAAAGUUUAAAUGGUUACAAAAACCACUCAGCAUUCCGAGGCAAAUUUAAGGUGGGACAUAAGAGUUUGUUCACUCCGCGGGAGGAGGAUUGGCAGGCUCGACGAACUCGUCCAGGUCGACGCCAUCGGCAAUCUGAGUGGCGGCAGCAAUGAAAGUCUCCAUAAAAGUUUAGAAGUCGUGCUUCUGGGUGUUGGUGACCUUGAUUGUGGCCAGCUUAUCUUGUCGCACCUCCUUGCAGUGGACACGAACCAAAGACAGAGGCACAUCAGCGCCACACCGAGCAGAAGACUUCUUCCACUCCAGCACUCGGUCAGGGAUUCCGUUAAGUCGAGUCAUCAGAGACUCAAGAUCGUUUUGGAGUGUGGCAUCUAGCCAAAGUGCCGGGUCGAUCCGUGACAUGGCGACCUUCAGUCGAGCCAAGUAGUCCACGGCACUGUCGAUGCGAGAUUCCAGACGGAGCAAAUUCAUGGCAGUUUCAUCUUUCACGGGAGAGUUGAUUGGAUCCAAACCUGGUUCGAUCCGCCCAGUCUCCUCUUCAAAGUUCUGGCAAAACUCUGCAUUCACGAUCCAAGGAUAAGUCAAUUUUCAUACACUGAGUCGACACAAAAAAAA
RNAcentral lists this long non-coding RNA (49581 nucleotides) under Triticum aestivum (bread wheat). RNAcentral's name for it is "long non-coding RNA (TAES_LNC006157)". The stretch from base 31 to 113 matches the Rfam family "Small nucleolar RNA SNORD24". Lineage: Eukaryota; Viridiplantae; Streptophyta; Magnoliopsida; Poales; Poaceae. The record is from RNAcentral.